CUGAAGAAAAUCUUCCAUGCCGCCAAUGAUUCUCAGGUGGCAAAGAUUAUCGGCGAUGCUCUCAGUGAAUGUGAAAGAGCACCGAGCGCCGGCGAGACGAAACGGUGUGCUAAGUCAGCUGAAGAUAUGAUUGAUUUCGCAACAUCAGUAUUGGGUCGAAAUGUGGUGGUUCGAACGACUGAGAAUACAAAAGGAUCAAAUGGGAAUAUCAUGAUAGGAGCAGUCAAAGGAAUCAACGGUGGAAAAGUUACAAAAUCAGUAUCAUGUCACCAGACCUUGUUCCCUUACUUACUGUAUUACUGUCAUUCGGUUCCUAAAGUCCGGGUCUAUGAAGCGGAUAUUUUGGACCCGAAUUCAAAGGCUAAUAUCAAUCACGGUGUUGCCAUUUGCCACGUGGAUACUUCUUUAUGGGGACCCAAGCACGGAGCCUUCAUUGCACUCGGGUCGGGACCCGGGAAAAUAGAGGUUUGUCACUGGAUCUUUGAGAAUGACAUGACUUGGGCAACUGCAGAUUGAGCCAAGGAGUAAAACUUGGUUUUAAUAAAUAUUCAAAGUUUCUAUUGUUCUCUCUAUAUUUGGGCAAAGUAAUGUAGCCCCUAUGUUCACUUUUAUUCAUCCACAAAGGAUUUUGCACUCUUUGUAAGAAAUAAAUAAAAUAAAUAAGAUGCAUAUUUUAAUUAUUAUAAUAUACAUAAUCGAGGGUCCCUCUUAUAGUAAUGUUGUCGAUUCUCAAAAUCCUAAUGAUGUUAAUGCUACUCCUGAGUAUGAUAAUUGAUUAUUCUUAUGCUUUCUGAUGAUGCCAUGCUUGAUGAAACACUCCUUCACCAUGGAAGUGAAUGAGGAUUUCCCUGGCAACAAUAUGUAGUUGUGAAAAUUAAUCUAAAGUAUUUUAUCGUGAUUUUGACUUCAAAACUUUCACAUUAUACAAAACGUCAAAAUCUAAAGUAAGAACCCUAUUCCUCUUCAUUUUCUCUCUAUUUCCACUUAAUUUUCUCUCUGUAGUGCACUUAUAUAGUUCUUUUCAUGUUAGUUAUUAGUAUUUGUUUUAUAAGCAUUUUCUUAUUGGUUAAAAUAACUGAAAACCGAACUAUUAAUUGAACAUUUGAACUUCUUAAUUAAUUAAAAUUCUUGGAGUACUAUGACAUAUUACAUGUAUUUUUGCUGAUAAUAAGGAAUUAGAGUCCAACGAACAUGGAAAUAGAUUGUCUUUGUAUAAGCAAAGAUGCAGAGUACCGUUAUCGAAUUCAUUAAAACCAUUACUUUUUUAUGUGAUACAUAUACUUAUGUAAAAAACCCACAAAAUUACAAUAAAUAGUAGAUAUAUAUACACUCUACUUAAAAUAUAAUAAAUUCAAUACUAAAAACUUUUAAUAUUAAACCCGUUUAUAUAACUUAAAUCCUGAAUCUACCCAUAGCAUGUUGUAUCGAAAUGGAAAAAUCAAGAAAGAGCGUAAGAAAGUGCAAAAAUAAUACUCCUAAUAAAAGGGAAAUAAAUAAUGAUGGAGACCCUUAAAUGCCAAAGAGAAAUAAAAAACAAUGAAAAAUGUGUUUUCUGCCAAUUUCAGCAAAACACAUUAUUUUCCUACAUAAAUAAUAAAUACACUUCAUAUUUAUUUUUAGAAUUUAAUACAUAAAUAAUAAAUACACUUCAUAUUAAUUAGAUAUAUAUAAACAAGAAAAGAGUCUGGUUGCCAAAGUCCAAUACAAAUCCAAAACGAAAAAAAAUAUAUGUGGAUUUCUAUUUUCUAAUAACUCAUUUCUUCAUUUUCUUCAAUAUUGUCUCAUCAACAUAAGUUUUCUUGAGAUUAGUAUUCAUGUUUAAAUUUUCAAAUAAUAGACUUAUCAUUUAUAAAUUCUAAAAAGGUAUUUCUAUCAUAUCAUUUGAAAUAGUACUGUAGGAAAAAUAAUUAAUAUAUCAGCUUUCAAUAAAAAAGAUCAUAUCUUGAGUUUAAUGUUUUAUUGGCGUCGUAAAAAACAUAAUUAUGUGCUAUUAUUUGAUUGAUAAAAGUGUUACGACUCAAUCCACUAGGUCGUGCGGGCACCCACUCUAACAUCUAAGUAGGAGAACCCUCAUAUCCCAAUAGUAAAAACAUGUGGAAAUUUUAAGAAAACAUGAAUAAAUAUGACACUAUGAUUUUAUAAAUAACGCCUUUAGACACACUAUUAGAUAAACUUGUAAGGUAAUUUAAACCACUCCCAAUGGAUCUAGUCUAAACAGGUACAAGAGCUACUAAAAGAACAACUGGACAAGAUAAAUAAAAGACACAGCUCCCACCAUGCAGAAGGAAGAAUAGAAGCUGUUGGAGAUUUUCUUCGUCUUCACCUAAUGAAACGUCACCAAUCCUGCAUCCAGACUAUGUCAAAAGACAUAGCAAGAGUAGUAUCAGUACAAAACACACGUAUUGGUAGGCAUCAUCGGUCAACCCAACGCCCACCACAUAACAUAAGAAACCAACUAGUAAGAUCAUGGAAUAAACCACUCGCUUCUCCACCUUCACCCCUUUCAUUGAAAUACCUCCAAUCACACUAGUCAUUCUAACUACUAACCCCUUUUUAAUCAACCCACUUACCAGAUUUUUGAUCAUAGCUUAACCAUUCUAAACACAUAAGAAAUUUCCCAAGUACAAACACCACCCAUAUCAACUAACCGUACACGUCCUCCCUUACUUCCUCGUCACAUUACCAACCAUAAUCACUUAAUACAAUGAUUCAAGCUUCUUAACACUAACUCAAUUUCCUUCCCCCCAAGGUGAAAUCCAUCCAGCAAUUUCCUCCACAAACACUAUCUCUACUCUCGCCAUUACAACCCACGACAACCCACUAUAAAUCGUCAUACACGGGUCCACUAAGUACAACAUAAACAAACCAAUACAAUACUUUACUCACAAACGUAUAUCAAGCAUAUACAAUAUUGUCAACAAGUAUAUAUACACAAACAACGAAUAACUCACUUUUAUAUCAUAUCAUUGGUCCUCUCAUGGAACCCAAACUUAAACAGUUAGCAUGCCGGAACGUGGCAAUCGAUCCCAAGUUAGUGUGCCGGAACGUGGUAGCAGAUCCCAUGUUUAUGUCGGAACAUGGCAAUUCGAUCCCAUAUUGUGCCGGAAUGUGGCAAUUCGAUCCAAGUUAGUUAUGCCGGAACGUGGCAAUCCGAUCCCAUUCACACACCACAAUCACAAACACAAGUACAUCAUCAAGAUCAUACAUUUAAGUCAUGAUUUCAUGGUAAUGAUAUUCAUCUAUCUCAUUUACAACAAGUGUGAUCGACAUUGCAACAUUCAUACAUACACAAGUAUCAUAAUGAAGCAAGAACAAACAUACAUCACAUAACAUAGAAUCACAACCAUCACCUAUGAAUUACUUCUCAAUCCCUAUUGCAUAUGUAAUAAUUGACCAUACUCCGCCCUAGUUCAUCGAUAGGAUUUCUCAUUAGGUUUUAAUCCCCAUUCAUCAUAAUUCCUCAAUUUCGUCACUUCAAUUAUCAGAUGUAGCAUACAUUCAUAAAUCUAGUUCCACUCUUGAUUUCAUGUCCUCAUUCUCGACCCAAUUCUAUCCAUGAUGGCAAUUCUAGGUUUUUCUAACCGCUCAUCAAUUCCUCCUCACAAAGCAUAAACCCACAUACUUUGAAUCCUAAGGAUUAUUCAUGUAAUUUGCUCGGUGCACGAAGGCCUACACACAACCCUACCAUUGAUUUACAUAUAUCACGUAGUAAGCACAUAUUUAAAACUACUCAAUUGUAAAAACCUAGCUACCUGGGCGCCAAGCAGUUGUACGGAGUUUUUGACUUUGGUUCGAGUUUUUCCGGGUUCGUGACGGUGAAUUUAGUUAAGAAUUCAUAAGAUUUCGCCAUCCCCACGCUAGAAAUCUCCUUCUCCUUCCUUCCCAAGCUUAGAGCAGCUUUUCUGAGAUUUCUAGGGUAUUUUACGACUCAUUUAGGUAUUUUAAGGAGAUGGAGGAAAUAGAAUUUCUCAUAAUUUACGUUCUGCCUCGCUUAUCCCGCUCUGGCGCCAACUUACCCUGCCCUAGCGGCGGCGCCCCAGCGGCACCUGGCCCGCCCUGGCGGGUCAGUGGCCCAGAUUUUCUCGAAUCUUUGCUUUUCCUAAUUAACGACGGUUCGGAUCGUUACAAAAAGAUAUGUACAUUUUCUCUUCUUCAAAUCUUUUCCAUCAGAAAUUUCUCUUUGUGAGAUAUUCUUUGCCUAUGUUUAGAAAAAUGUGAAAACUACUAUUUUCAUUUUUAAUAAAUAAAUAAACUAUCAAUGGAGAUGUGGGCUAGUGAAAGUAAUGGCGGUUUGAAAGUCUUAUUCCAUAUUUGAUACACAUUCAAACAAAAGACUAUUGUUCAUUAAAUUUAAAAUCACCUUAUUUUUACUUUUUAAAAUUUUUCAAAUUUAAAAUAUCUAUUCAUUUUCUGCUACUUGGCUAAAAUUAGUUGUCCUAAAUUAAUUUUUUCUUAAUUUCAUUUUUAAAUAUAUAGAUUUUUUUUAAAAAACAUUUGAAAUUGAAAAAGAUAGUACUAUCUUAUCUCUAUAAAUGAAUGCAGUUAACUUCGAAAUAUUGCAUAGGAUACAAGGAAAAGAAUGUUUAUUAUUCAUAAUUGAUGAAAAGUUUAUUUGUUAAAGUAAAGUUAAAAAAAAUAAUUCAUCCAAAUUUUAAAUAUUAUAAUGAAGAAUCUAAUACCUUUUAUUCUAAUAUAGUUUGAAGUAUUAUCAUUGUUUCUCAAGAUCCAAAAUAUUUUUCCGUAUAAUUAUUUUUCGAAAAAUGAAAAUAAAUCAACUAACAAACUAAAUCUUAUGCUUAGCCUCUUUCUCUUUUUUGCUAGUACUAAAAAAAUAAUAAUUAACUACUAUAAUUUAGAUUGAUCACAAUAAAAAAAUAUUGAACUUUUGUAAUAAAAGUUUACUAAGGAAUCAAACAACUAGAACAACACUAUUUAUUGGAUUUAAAAAUAAAAAGGAAUGAUCAAAAUAAAAAUUAUACUACUAAACCAACAGAGAGAACAGUUAAAAAUAACUAUGCCAAAAAAACAUACUUUAAUAUACAUGUUUUUAGCUAAAGAGGGUGCAAAGUUGGAAUCGCUGAACUCCUUUUGUUAUGAACAAUUCCGCCAUUGUUUGUCGUCGAGAAACUAGAAGCAGAAAAAGUCGGAAUUUCUUUUGUUAGGCAUACUAACCCAAAUAGUAAUAGUAUAUAGUAUUGUAAUCUACAAUUAACGUCCCUCCUAACAUUAGCAGUGGUACUACUUUGCCACUUUAUUGUAAUGAUGUUUUUGUACCAAAAAAAUAAUAAUAGUGAUGUUUGAUUUUUAGUAAAUAUAACUUUAAAAAAUAUAAAUAUAUUUGUUUAUAAAGAGUGUAAAAUGGAUAAAAAGAAUUUUGCCUUUCACCGACACUAGCUAGAAAUAUAUUAUAUUUUUGUUAUUUUGAUCUCACCAUCAACAUAACUAUUUUUUACAUUUAUUUGUUUUUGUUUUCAUCGUUACAUGUGCUUUUAAUUUCCUAAUAAUUAAUAAUGGAAAAGAGGUGGAGGCACAGUCAACAUCGAACUCAAUAAGCUCCCACCAAUAGACAGUAAAGGAAUUAGGGUCCUACGAUCAUUUUGGAGUGUUUUAUCAAUUAAAUUAAAAAAAAAAAACAUGUUAUUUAGAGAUAUUGUUAUAUACAAAUAAAUAUAGAAAUAUUUGACCAAAACGAAAAAAAUAUAAAGAAAGAGAGUAAGAAAGAGGUGAAAUGAUAUAUUUGACCAAAGAUCCAUUAAUCUUCUUAUAGUCUGUUUGCCCAGACUUUCAAAUUUACUUAAUUGUAAUUUUUUUUUAAUCAAAAGUGUUUUUUGCAAAAUGUAAAUUUAAAGAAUAUUGAGUUUCCAAUUUUUUUGAAAGUUUAACAAAACAACUACGAAAAUAUUUGCGGAAAACAAUCCCUAGAACCUGAAAGUCAAUUUACCAAAACUCUAAAUUCAACAAGUCUAAGAGAAAAGGGUACAAACCCAAAAUUAAACAUAAGCAACGUCUAAAAACAUGAAUAGUCUAAGUUCGAAAAGAGUGGACUAAACUAAGGAUGAAUCUAUGGCAGCCUGAAAGAACUGACUCACUCUUGAAUCCGGUCUCGAUCAUUGAUCUCCUAGCUGAGGUCUAUCAGUAGCCGCCUGAAGAUGUUAUGUACUCAACAAAGAACGAGCAAGUGCAAUAUCCCUACACAAACCACAGUGUACUGGUAGGAUCACGCGGCUUUCCCGGUAAACGAAACAUAGGCAAGCAAUCACAACAUAGUAAACGCACAUAUACAUAAUACAUAGAUCAGAUAUCAUUUCAUCAUCAACAUACAAUUCCCAAUAUAACGACAAUAUACAUGAAUGUAAUAAUCACAAUGGUCCUCUCAUGAAACCUACACCCGAACUGUUAGUGUGUUGGAACGUGACACCAGAUCCAAUGUAUGUGUCGGAACGUGAUACCAUAUCCAAUAUAUGUGUCGGAACAUGACACCCGAUCCAAUGUAUGUGUCGGAACGUGACACUCGAUCCAAUAUAUGUGUCGGAACGUGACACCCGAUCCAAUCAGCACAACCACAAUCACAAUCACAAUCACACCCAUAAUGAACAUACUCAUAAUCAUACAAUCAAGUAUUAGGUUCAUGACAUGUAAUUGUUCAUAUACAUAUAGUCAUUUGCAUUAGAUUUGAUUUUCAUUCAUUAUUCGCAUACAUGCAUGCAUACAACGAAGCAAUUACUAGCAUAUAUCACACAAACAGGAAAUCAAACCACCACCUACCUCGAAACCAAGCUUGAAUCCUCCUAAGACACUUGAGUCUUCCCUUUUCGGAUUCUUUCCGCUUGUUCUUGGUCUAAACAUAAGUAAAUUAUGCAAGGAUCAAUAAUUAAGGUCUAAUUUACCCGGAUUAUGACAACCCAAUAACCCAAGACCAAACUCAUGAUCCUAAUGUGCAGCUAGGGCUUUUUCCACCAUCAACUUCAAGCCAAACCCCCCCCCCCCCUCCUAUGAUAUUUACCCAAGAAUCUAUGUUCUACGGAUCGAAAAACGAAUUAGAGGAGUAAUAAUCUUACAUUUUGCGCUAGAAGUCAUGGGAAUCUGUCAAGAAAUAGCCCUGGGUCAUCUCUUAGCUCUCAAGAAUGAAAGUUUGCACAAAAUAACGAAUUUGGGAUUUUUCCCGAUUUAAGUCGCGACUGUCCCGCUAUAGCGGUCUCGCCUUGGCGUGAUUAAUCCCGCUCUGGCAGCUUGCACGGAGAUAGAGCGUUGGAAUUUGAGUUCUAAGCUCCCAUUUCGGAACACACCUUCAACCCUUGACGUUCAAAAACUACCAUUUCACACCAAGAUCAGUUUCAGGAGUUCUACUCUCCCGAAUUCAAUUCCGUCAAGUCGUACGGGUUCCUUAACGUCUUAGCUAACUACUCAUGUGAUCAAAUUCAUAAUUAGAUCCCCCAUUCAUUACCAGAUUUCCCUAUACUUCACUUGGCUCAGAUUCCGUCCAAGUCUGGCCUAGGCUAGAAAUUUCCAAGUCACUACUCAAAAGUUUUCUGGCCCAAAUUUCUUUCCCCAUUGGCUUUCCAUAACAACGGGAACGGGUAGUUACAAAAAAUAAAAAAAAUUGAAGUUGAAAAAUAUUUUUAAAAAAUAAGCUUUAAAUUUAUUUUUUCAACAAAAAAAUUGUAAUUUGAAGUUGGAGGAGUGUUUUGGAAAAUGUUUUCCUUAUUUUUUUUGUAGGGAAGUCAUUUUCCUUAAAUUUUGAGGAAAAUGAGUUGAUUUGGAAAACAUUUUAUCCAUCCAAAUGUGAGAAAAUUGGAAAAUAUUUUUUGGAAAAUGUUUUCCUUCAUACCCUAAUGAAAUGAUUUAUAUUCACACAACUAUUAAAAUUUGCUUUGCAUUACAAGUUUGAAAAGUCUACCAUUUUUCUUAGGUUUUAUGUCAAGUCAAACGAUGUCACAUAAAUGAAAACAAAUAAAGUAAAAAUUACAUUCUGGAUUGGCUUGUGUUAGUAAUUUGAAUCAUUGCCCUGGCUAUGUAGAAUUUCAUGUUACAUUUGCUUUCCUAAAUUGUGACACAAGGCAACAGUGAAAGAAAUUGUUUUCAUGUCAGCCAUACAUAUUUUGUUCUCUUUUAGUUAGUUUCUUGUGAUUCCUUGGGGCAUUUCCCUCGUCUUCUAUUUGAAAUUGUUUGAUGAAGAGAAUGACAUUUUAUUUGUGAGAAUGGAAUUUUCUUGUGCAAAUGUGCGAUUUAAAAGCAGGCACGUUAUAGUAUUUCUAUUUUUAUUUAUUUUAUACUAUAUAGAAAAAUCAAGUAUGGACAACCAAGGGGAUAAUUGUAAUUUCACAGCUAAUAUUGUGGCCAGAUAAUUUGAAAAGCCAAGCCAAGUAUAGACAACCAAGGGCAUAAUGGUAAUUUUAUAGCUAACAUUGUGGCCAGAUAUUUUGACUUUUUUCAUUACCAUUACAAUUCUAGCUAGUUUCUACUAUAUAGAAAAGCCAAGUAUGGACGACCAAGGGCAUAAUUGUAAUUUCACAGCUAACAUUGUAGCUAGAUAUUUUGUAAAGCCAAGCCAAGUAUGGACAACCAAGACCAUAAUGGUAAUUUUAUAGCUAACAUUGUGGCCAUAUAUUUUGACUUUUCUCAAUACCAUUACAAUUCUAGCUAGGUCUAGAAACAUCCCGAAAAUAGUUGUGUGAGGCUUCAAUCAAUUUUUGACACUUGAAUUUGUGGGCCCCAUUUAAAAACCACACAUUCUCUCACCUUCAUUUUUUUAUAUUCCUCCCUUUUCCUCAUAAUAAGUAUUUUACCUCUCUCUUUUUUUAAUAGUCUUAAAUUUUUAUUUUCCAAAAGUCAAAUAAAAAUAUGUAAAUUAGUAGUAAUUCAAAUUUUAGCCUUUUUUCCCGUGAUUGUUAAUAUGAUUAAAAAAUUGAACUCUAUUAUAAUUAUAGUCUUCUUUUCUUGAUUUAUAUAUUUUUUUGGUUGAUUAUUUUUAGACUUUUAACUUAAAUUUCAAUAAUAAGUGCCACACCAAGUACAAAAUAUUUCUAAAAAUAAUAAUUGAAGAACAAGUGAGUUUAGAAUACUUACAGGUAUGCUCUCACUUACUCAUUGGUGAGCUUUUUUUGGUAUAGUUUUUUUUUAAAAAAAUUAGUUCUGAUUGAUGACAGUUGAAUUAACUAAUAAUGAAUAAUUAAAGGACUAAAAAUAAGUCAACGCACACGAUUUAUUUUUACUUUGAAACCAAAACUGAUUAUGUCAAUUUUUUUUUUUUAAAAAAAUUGAAGAAAAAGAAAUAUUCAAUUUGACUAAAUUUUAUUACUUCGAUUUUCGAUAUUCAGUGAAUACUUCUUAAUACAAAUAUAAAGUGUGUGUGAAUUUUUCAUUCAAAAUAUAUCUUUUAAAGGUAUCCUAGGGAUUUGAUUUAGUUUUUUGAGAUGUAAAGUGAAAAUUUUCAAAGAUUAUUUUUUCUAGGGCUACGAGGAAUAAUUAUAUUUCAGUUGAAUUGGUUGGGAGGUGGCAAUUUUUUAAAUUGAUUUAGUUGAGAGACAUAAAUGAUUAAUGGGAAAGAAAAAGUUAAUCAAGUUACUAAUUAAUAAAGAGCACAAAUUUUUUUUAAAAAAAAACGGUGAAAAAGAGAGGAAUAUUGAGAGGAUCUAAAAUAUUUUGGAGGGAAAAGAGGGGAAUUUGGGAAAAAAUGAAGGUGAGAGAGUGUGUGGUGUUAAAAUGGAGUCCACAAAUUUAAGUGUCAAAAAUUGAAUGGAGCCUCACAUAACUAUGGUUGGUUGGGCCUCAACCAUAUUAAAAUUUUUCAAACAUCCCUCUUCUUCAUCAUUGUAACAUUCUUCAUUCUAUAUAAGUAAGUAUGAGUCUCCCGAUACGACGAAGAAAAUUUUCGGUAAAUGGUUGCUGCUUAUUUAUCUCUUUGUACUGUUUUCAGGAAGCAACAAUAUUUGUUCUUUUUCAACAUAAAAGUUACGUUCCAUAUGGAUCUCUUUAUCCCAAAAAAAGAGAAUUUCGAGAUUUACUAAUCAGAAUGAUUUUGCAUAGACAUUAAUUCUUAAAAUGAUUUGGUGUGUUCCUUUUUUCUUUAAAUGAUUUGUUAUCUUGUUUAAUUUAAUUUGGUUAAAUAGCUUCCUUUACUUUGAUACUAUGGCAUUAUUUUCAUCUAUGUAAUGUAAAGUGUAAAAUGUACUUGGCCUUGUGGAAUCUGAAUGCCUGUGUUAUCUAAUAUUCUUGCUUUAUCAGUUGGAAUAUAGUAGUUGCACGAUUUGAUUUUUUCAGGACUUUUAAAAGUCAAAUUUGCUCGAGGUGGAGAAAGUCGAACAUUGCUAUGAAUUUAAGAGGUAAAUUCUGGACGGUUGUAUUCUCUAUACACUUGGUUAUAACGGAAAAUGGUAAUUGUAAAUCUCAGGUACAUAUACUGCUCUUCAGCUGAUGCAUACCUCAGACCUGAGUAUUUACCACACUUUGAAUGAUCUUGGCAUUGGUUACCCGAAAUAAGAAUUAUGUGUAGAUGUAAAGUAGAUGAUGCUAACAUCUAAACUCUUCUUGCGGGAAUCUAUAAUCUCCGGUUGAAUUAUUGUAGGAGCAAUAAUUUGAAUUACGUUUGAUAGUUGUGAAUCUUCUAAGAGUAAAAAUUUGAAUUACAUUUGAUAUAAUAGAAAUUAGAGGGGAAUAAAUCCGUUUAAUUUUGAAUGAUAUGAGGCUCUUGUGCACUUAAUAUACCCUUAUCAUACACAUAGAUCUCAUGUAUAUCUUAAGAAAUGAAGAUAAAGACUCAUUUGAACCAUGUGUUCAUGUGUUAUUUGUCACUACUUAGGAGAAAACGUAACAUUCUUACUACUAUUAUUUCUAGGAAAAUCACAAUUGAUAUAUAGUUUGUAACCUUGCUAGUUAUAAUUUCAGAAGACAUAGAAUAUAUACAUAGAUCUAGCCUAAGUGUUGUCCCAUUGUCUUCCACUGCAGGUGUCUUUGUAAUCUUGAGCAAAGAUGGUUGCGCCAAGUUCAAGAAUUGCACCAUGGUAAACAAGAAGAAUCCGUAGAAUUAUGACUAAAGUGUUGUAGGAAUACACCCGACAAUAACAUUCUACGGACUACUUCAAUUGGCAUGGCAACACAUCUCGGUCCACAUUUAUCCAAGAUUCCAGAUAGAAAUAGUUUCGUAUCAAGGCGGUUAUGCAUUUAGUUUUUAACUUUCCACUUUUUGUAAAUAAGUUUGUAAUUAGACAAAAUACAUAAUUACCCCAUUAAACUUAUACCUAUUUUUCAAAUAGACACCUAAAAUUUGCCAGAGUCCUAUUACCCAACAAAACCAUUUUUCAACUAUUAUAAAUAUCUCAUUUUGACAACGUUGUUAAUCUCAAACCUUGAGCGUGUGUUCAAUCUCAAAUAAAAUAAUAUUAUUUUAUUUUAUUGCUAUCCAUUAAUAAAGAAUCGGGUAAUUCACAUAUUAACCCUCAAAUCUAAUCGGACCACCCAUUUCACUCUCCCCUCUCUCCUUCUUUUCACUCAAACUACUGUGCAACGUUUUCUUCUUUUACGAACUCCACCAUGAACAAGAAACAAUCAAUUGCAAAUUAUAGAAAAUCAAUGAAUAAAGUUGAUGUUUGGAUUAUCAAUUGGUCAUGGGUGUUGAUUCGAAAAGCUUAUUCAACACAUUUUGUAUCUAUUUUUGGAUUAUCAAUUGCUCAUAGGUAUUGAUUCAAAAAGCUUAUUCAACACAUUAUAUUUAAUCAUAUACUGCAAAAUGGUCACUCUCUAAUGGAGUCAAUUUUGUUUAUAUCUUUAGAAAUUUUGACGUCAACAAAGAUGAUAUAUAGCUACGAAAUUAUUAGCUACGACAUAAAAUUUGUCACUAAAUGUUCACUUUUAGUGACAAAAAUUACUUUCUGUGGUUAAAUAUAUGAGACAUAUAUAUUUAGUGACGAAACAUAAAAGUUCGUAGCAAAGUUUUGUCCACUAAAAUUUCCCACCAAAAAAUAAAUUGGCGCAAUUUAUUGAGUACUAUUAGUCACGAAUUUAAAGUUACCAGUGACACAUUAUUUCGUCACUAAUGAUGUAUCUAAUUCGUGAUAAAUUAUCUUUUGUCUUAAAAUAAAUUAAUUUUUGGGCACAAAAUAAACUUCGUCUCAAAAAUAUGUUGUUACAACUUACAAUAGUGACAAAUUAGAGUUUGUAGUUAAAUAUUAUAAGUUUUAGCUAUAAAAAUUUAGACUUAAUUGUUACAUUUAUUUUCGUCACUAAUAAUAUAAAUAAUUGGUGACAAUCAUUUUAUUGUCUCUAAUAAACCUUCGAUUUAAUGACAACAGAAAAUUGUCACAAAAUCUGUAAGGUGUUAAAUAGGGAUGAAUCAAAAUUUGUAGUUGAAUAAUUCGAUUAUUUUCUACAAAAAAGUUCAUAGCUAAAUACAAAUUUUUCUUUGGCUAGAUUGUUCAUAAUUAGAGGAAAUAUCAUAAAUGAUCACUGAACUAUUGAAAUGGGUCUAAACUAGUCUCUUAACUAUACAUUUAUUAGAUUUAGUCCUUUAACUAUUUUAAAUGUUAUCAAGUUUAGUCGCUUAAUUAUAAACUUACAACUUUUAGUCCCUUAACUAUACACUUACUAGUUUUAGUCCUUUAAGUAUUCAAAUAUUUAUCACUUUUGGUCUUUGACUAUUUUUUUUAUUCAAAUAGUUUGGUUUAUAUUAAUAGAACUCAUGUAUCUGUGAAAUUAAAUCUUUUAACCCAUUUUCCAGGUGUUUCUCUUUCCCCGCUAGCUUUUCUUCAAAUUACUCCUAAGAAAAGAACCUUACCUUAACGAUUCAAAAUAAAAUUCACGAAAAAGAAAUAAGAAGCCUUGACUUUUAUUCAAUGGAAGAUGAAAUAAAAUAUUAUUGUUGUUAAUGACUUUAUAAUAUUAAAAUUUAUUAUAAAAAUGAAAAUGUUAUUACCCGUAAGGUGCAGAGAGAGAUUUAUUUUUUUAUAUUUGAAAGAAAAGAAUUUCUUGCAAUUCGAAAAAAAUUAAUAGUUCUUUACUCACAUAUUUUGAUUCCAAAUUUUGUAAUCCAACGAUUUUUUUGAAGGAAAUUUGUUUAAUUUUUUAGAAGUUGAAACUUAUAAAAUGGUAGAUUUACCGUUAUUUAAGAUUUAUUUUAUUUUGAAAUAGAUCGAUUUUAUUAUUUUGUUCAUUUGAUUUUACGUAGAGUAAUUUGAAUAAUAAGAUCAAAUCUUUUAUUUACUUUGUAUGGAUUUUUUUUAAAAAAAAUCAUGAUUAUUGUGCACCGUUAACAACUAAAGAAGGGAACGUUUUAUUUUGAAUUUUUGUGGUUAAACUCUUUUUAUAACAGUAAUUUGAAGAAAAAAUAGCGGAGAGAGAAACAAUUGAAAAGAUGGGUUAAACAUUUAAUUUCAUAAAGGCAUGAGCUUCGUUGAUAUAAAUAUAAGUUAUGUGUCUAACACCCCUUAUCCGAAACAGACCAAAAAUACAGAUUUUGAAAAGUUGUAGGUACAACCCACGGUUGCCCCCCACGGACCGUAAGUCAGACCAUGGCCCGUGCUGGUGGUCCGUGGUUCACCACUGCAACCCCUCCCUAAACCCAGCUUAGAAAAUCAACUAAGUCUCGACCCACGGACAGACCCACGGUCCGUGGCCUAUGUUCGUGGAUCGAGGACCCCUUCACCCAGUCUCUGACGCAAACGAAGGCCGACCAGCACGGACCGUCGUUCGAUCUACGGUCCGUAGGUCUGACCGUAGGUGAGGGUCAACAACCAAUUAGAGGAAAAUUGUUGAUUGAGUCAACUUCAAAUGGUCAUAAAUCUUAGCACAAAAGUAAUUACAUUUCCCAUGAACUAUGAUAUGAUAUAUAAUUGAGUCCUCUUUCCAACGCCACCGAGUUUGCUAAAAUCCGACCUCCGAGUAAAAAGUUAUGCUCGUUUUAGUGAAGGCCUAUCGGGUAGACUUGACCUACGACCCCAAUCUACGGACCGUAGAUUGACCUACGGCCCAUAGGUCCCGUCCGUCGAUCACUCCGACAUCAGUUAAGUCAGGGGUCUUUUUGGUCGUUUCCUAUUUCGUUGGACCCUUAAGCUACGUCGUUUAGACCUUAAAUUAUGAGGUUUUUAGUCAGUUUAAGCCUAGAAACAUAACUAGAACUUUCCUAAGUCAGAUCAUUCUUUAAAACUUAAAAAAAUUAGAAGCAAGAGAGGAGAAAAAGGUCAAUAACCCUAGUUCAAGAACGCAACAAGGUUCCAUCAGUUUCAGCCCCAAAAUCUAAAGAUUUCUCCGUGGAAUUCUUCACCAGGUAUGUGGGAUUUCACUAGUAGGUUAUUUUCACCCAUUAGGUCCCUAGUUUUCAGUCAGUUUCUUGAUUCCCUUAUUAUUAACUAGACCUAGGGUUUCUAGAACUUCAGUAGAUUAUCAUGAAUUAGUUAUUUACAUGUUCCAAAUCAGAUUAUCAUGGUAUUACUUCGUUUUAUGCAUGAAUUCCAGAACCCUAGCUAUGUAUUUCUUUAGUUCUUGAAUUACACAUGCUAGGUCAGAUAUUUCAGUUAUUCAGUUAUACAUGCCUCAGUUAUUAAUGCAUCAAUAUCAGUUUAAUUGUUGCAUUCUCAGUUUGCAUGUUCAGUUUGAGCUAUCCAGUAACUUACAAAAAUUCAGUUAUAAUGUGUUAAUCACUUAAUCUAUUGGGAGUAGCAUAAUACCGAGUUGGACUAGGGUUCAACGUACCCAUAUAGUCCAAGAACUAUGAGUCACGUAGUUGUAAGUCCCCUAUGUGGACAAUAUCAGUUAGUGAUCACGCCAGUCAUGCUCUAUACCUCUGGCAGGGUAUACUGGGUCCUCUCGAUGAUGCAUAUACAUCGGACUCUACAUUUAGCUCAUGUGGUUUUAUUAUCGGUUAUUAGUAGCUCCCACAAUUCANNNNNNNNNNNNNNNNNNNNNNNNNNNNNNNNNNNNNNNNNNNNNNNNNNNNNNNNNNNNNNNNNNNNNNNNNNNNNNNNNNNNNNNNNNNNNNNNNNNNNNNNNNNNNNNNNNNNNNNNNNNNNNNNNNNNNNNNNNNNNNNNNNNNNNNNNNNNNNNNNNAGUUAGCUCAGUAUUCAGUAUCUAUAUCAUGUUAAGAUUAUGCUCUUGCUUUAUUGCUCGUUCAAUUAUAUGUUAUUUCAGUUGUAUUCUAUUCUGCAUGCUUAGUACCUUUCAAGUACUAAUGCAUACUUUGCGCUACAUCUUCUCGUGAUGUAGGUUCAAGUUCUCAACAUCCAAAUCACGCUUAGAUCGGUUCCCGAUCUCCAGUUCAGCAGAGUCAGUGGUGAGUCCUUAUUCUCCGAGGACAAUAGUCAUGAGUUUCUUUUCAGUUAUUUUUAGUCUUUUAGUUUCAGUUUUGCUAGACUUAGCUGGGGCCUGUCCCAGCAUUUCUAGUCAGUUAGAGGCUAUUUCAAACAUAGUUAGAUUCAGCUUAGUAUUUAGUUAAUAUUUUCUUUGUAUUAAACUCAUCAGUUUUCAUUUAUCUCAGUUAUAGUAUAUGGGUAUUCCCCAUCUUUUCAUUUUGUUUAUGAUUAUAGCUUCCACACAGUUUUUAUUAUUCAGUUUAUAUUUAGUAUGCUCAUGAUUAUGCCAGCAGGGUUAGCUUGGGAUCACUUGUGGUCCUAGUUUCCGUGUCCGCGUCUCGGGGGUAGUUAGGGGCGCGACAAACUUGGUAUCAGAGCACUAGGUUUACGAGUCCUAGGAUGUCUGAAAAAGCUGCACUAAGUAGAAUCCUUUUCAUGGGUGUGAAGUGCACCACAUCUAAUGAGAAGGAGGCUAUGAAGUGUUUUAAGAAUACUUCAUUUUCUUGAUAUUCUUACCGUACGUUAGUAUGAUCUCCUUUCUAAUCCAUCGUUACGCGCUUAAGAUCAUGCCUCCUCAUAAGGAUUACAUAAGGAAUGCUAAUGCACGCAAUGCUAACCCAGUUCCUCUAGUCCCAAACCAUGAGGUUUCAAACAUAGAGUUUCGGAAUGCGAUUCAGAUUUUGGUUCAAAGUAUGACCAACCAGAACAAUCAGCAGGUUGGAGUUCCUACUAAUAGAAAUGGUAGAUUAACGGUAGCUAGGGUUUGAGAUUUUGUAAGGAUGAAUCCGCCUGAGUUUUUAGGGUCACAAGUUGGUGAGGACCCACAUAACUUCAUUGAUAAUGUUAAGAAAAUCUUUGGAGUGAUGCAAGUGACUGGUAAUGGUAGGGUUGAGUUGACAUCCUACCAACUUAGGGAUAUUGCUCACAUAUGGUUCACUCAGUGGAAAGACAACAUGGGCUACUUUGUCUUUAGUAAGUCCCUUUAUAGCAGUAAUCUUAGGUGUCAGUCCAGAAACUCUAUCAGAACCCUUCUCAGUCUCUACUCCAGUCGGUGACCCAGUUAUAGCUAGACGGGUAUACAUAAAUUGCCCUGUCACAGUCUCUCAGAAAGUCACCUCAGAUGAUCUUGUAGAGUUAGAAAAGGUAGACUUCGAUGUCAUUCUAGGCAUGGAUUGGUUACAUUCCUGUUAUGCCUCAGUCAAUUGUAGAUCUAGGAUUGUUUUCAGUUUUCAGAAGAACCAAUCCUAGAAUGGAAGGGUUGUAGUUUAGCGCCUAUGGGUCGAUUCACUUCUUACCUUAAGGCUAAAAAGAUGAUCUCUAAGGGUUAUCUCUAUCAUCUAGUUCGAGUUAAGGAUUCAAGCUCUGAAACCCCAACUAUUGAUUCAGUUCCUGUGGUUAAUGAGUUUCCAAAAGAUCUUCCCGAAAUUCCUCCCGAUAGGAAAAUCGACUUUGGAAUUGAUCUCCUUCCCGAUACCUAGCCUAUCUUUAUUUCUCCUUACAGAAUGGCUCCAGAUAAGCUUAAGGAAUUGAAGGAACAGUUGAAAGACCUUCUAGAUAAGGGUUUCAUCAGACCUAAUAUUUCGCCAUGGGGUGCACUAGUAUUGUUCGUAAAGAAGAAAUAUGGUUUUCUUAGAAUGUACAUUGACUAUAGGUAGUUGAACAAGGUCAUAAUCAAGAAUAAUUAUCCCAUCCCCAUGAUUGAUGACUUGUUUGACCAACUUCAGGGUGCUAGUCAUUUCUCAAAGAUAGACCUCAGAUCGGGUUAUCAUCAGCUUAGAGUCAGAGAUAGUGACAUUUCGAAGACAGCCUUCAGAACUCGAUAUGGUCAUUAUGAAUUUGUAGUCAUGUCAUUUGGACUAACCAAUGCUCCUGCAGCUUUCAUGGAUUUGAUUAACAAAGUGUUCAAGCAGUACUUGGACUUGUUCGUUAUCAUCUUUAUUGAUGAUAUCCUUAUUUACUCUAGGAAUGAGGAAGAACAUGCGAGUCAUUUGAGAUUUAUUCUGGAAACUCUCAAAGAUCGCCAGUUAUUUGCAAAAUUUAACAAGUGCGAGUUUUGGUUACAAUCAAUUGCCUUCCUUGGGCAUAAUGUGUCUAGUGAAGGAAUUCGAGUAGAUUCCCAGAAGAUAGAAGCAGUGAAACAAUGGCCCAGACCUACUUCUGCUAUAGACAUCAAAAGUUUCUUGGGUUUAGCGGGCUAUUACAGAAGGUUCGUGGAAGGAUUUUCAUACAUAGCCUCACCAUUGACUAGGUUGACUCAGAAUAUGGUCAAGUUUCGAUGGUUAGAUGAUUGUGAGAAAAGCUUUGUAGAAUUGAAAACUAGGUUGACUACAAAUCUCCUGUCUUAACUCUACCAGAGGGUUCAGAUGGUUAUGUGAUCUAUUGUGAUGUAUCCAGAGUCGUCCUAGGUUGUGUGUUGAUGCAGCGAUGUAAUGUUAUAGCUUAUGCUUCUAGACAACUUAAGGUACAUGAGAAGAAUUACCCAACUCAUGACCUUGAGCUUGCAGCAGUGGUGUUUGCACUCAAGAUUUGGAGACACUACUUGUAUGGUGUUCAUAUAGAUGUGUUCACAGACUAUAAGAGCCUCCAGUAUGUAUUCACCCAGAAAGAGUUGCAUCUUCGCUACAUAAGGUGGCUUGAGUUCCUCAAAGAUUAUUAUAUGAGCGUGCAUUACCAUCUAAGUAAGGCAAAUGUAGUAGCAGAUGCUCUUAGCAGAAUGUUAUCAUUUUCUCAUAGUAAAAACUGUUAUCUUGGGAUUCAAUAAAGGUAGCAGUCAUUUCACUGUCACUCAUCGGUGGUUGGACUCUAGCUGCUUUUGAUCUCCAACGUAGAGCAUACUCACGAAAUGUCUCAGUAGAUUUCUUCUUUAACUUAGUGAGGUAGAACCUAUCUGGUAUGAUGUCGGUAUUGAACUUGAAUCGAUCCAUAAAGUCUUGUGCCAUAUCACUCCAACCACGCCAUUUAUGGAGAUCUUGUUGUGUGUACCAAGCAAGAGCUUCACCAAAUAAACUUCUUACGAACAACUUCAUUCUGACCCUCUCAUCUCACCCCACUCCUACCAGUUUGUCACAAUAGACCCUUAGAUGUGUAUGAGGAUCACCAAUUCCAUUGCAAGUAUCAAACUUUGGCAGUUUGUACCUUACAUGCAAAUCAAUGUCAGGUUGCACACAGAGAUUCUCAUAUUCUAGGCUUUUGUUUCCCCUAGUGGUUUGGAGAUUUCUCAUUGCUUCCUUAAGAUCACGAAUCUCUCUAGCUAACACAUCAUCGGCCUUUGCCUUGACAUCCUUCUCCAUUUCCUCAUAUUGAUCUACCUUGGGUUGAAACUUGACUGAUAUUGGAUUGGCAUAGGUUUGAGUUUCCACUGCAUAUACCGGAGGAACAUGUUGCACAUAAGGAUUGGCAAUAUGUGCCCUUUGUAUAAAUUUGGCUGGAUAAGUUUGGACAAUGGGUGUAUUUUGAACAUGAGGUGAUGGAUUCGAUGGGUUUACGGGAGUAAUUGUAGGUUGUGGAUAUGUGUUAAUGGGUUGGGAAAUGUAAGGAGUAUGAGUUGGAGGUUGAUUUUGUGGGUUGACAAGUGGAUUAGGAGGAGUAGCAUAGGUAGUGUAGGUAGGUGGUUGACUUUGUGGAGGAGCGUAAAUGGGUAACAAAUUUGGUGGAUUUGUGGGAGUAGUUGGAAGAAGGUUAUUGUUGGUAGGCGGAGGUUGUUGUGGAGGAAAGUGUUCAGGUACGGGUGAAUCAAGUGAUGGAAAACGAGGUGGGUUUAGUGUAGUACUCCUAGGUUAAUGAAGUGGACUUUGGAGUGUGAUGGAUAAGUUGGUCAAGUCUCUAUUCCGGUUAGUUCACUACGUAAAUCCUCAAUCUCUUGAGUCAAAUGGGUGAUGAGUUCAUCAUGUUGAAUAGUAGUUCUAUCUUCGAAAGUCUCGGGAGAGUCAUUAGGAACCAUGAUAUGUCCUGGACCAAUUGGAUCAAAUGUGGUUGGAUUAGUCAUAGUAAUUUUUCUUCCUUGAAUAGCCCAACUACACCGAGGUAAUGUCGAUGACUUGGACCUUGUGAAGUAAGGAUGGUUGGCCAGCUCGAUUGUCAACACGAAUCAACUUUGGUAGGGAAAAAAUAAAAAUAAAAAUAAAAAUAAUGUUAGUUUUAAAUGAAAAAGUAAAGUCAUGUUCACAUAAUUCAAAUAAAUCGCGUAGCAUGCAAGUCAUCAAGUAGAGUCAAAUAAGUUGUAAGAAUAACAUGUAAACAAGUCAUCAAGUAAAGUCAAAUAUAUCGCAAAGAUAACAUGUAAACGUGUCCUAAUAUGCUUGUGACCUCUUUGUGCUAGAGGUUGACCUAACGUAAAUUUAAGAAGUAUAUUUGCCAUAAUAUGUCAUCCCACUACUCUUGAUUAAUUAAAUAAUUUUAUUUCUCCAAAAUUAAAGUACUAGAUAAUGAAAUUAUUUAUUACAUGUCUAAUAAAUACAACCUAAAGUACUUCCUAAAGUAAAAAGAAAUUCUAGUAUGUCCGUCCUUCUUGGUUCCUUUUGGUGAUAUCACCACUUAUUGUAUUUUAUCGUCAAAUUUUCAUAUCUGUCACAGAAAGGUUAGUCAUACCAUCCCUAAAAUUUAAUUAAUUAGAGCAAAUGGUUCAUAUUUAGGCAUAAAUAUUUCUCAAAUAUGCACAUAAAUAAUGAUAGGUCAUCACUUGGGGUGGGAAACCCACUUGGACAUUUAAGGUAAAGUCGACUAAUGGACUUAAUACACCAAGGGUAUAAAGUCUCUUAGGUCAUGAAAUGAUGUAUGCUCCUUGUAAAGUGUGUUGGUUUAGCUCUACUCUAGGUAAACUAGGACUGGGUUUUACUAGACACAAGGUUCCCGAGUGGACUACUCGAGUGAGAAGGCUACGUGGUCACACGGAAAAAGAUCCAGACACCCUGCGCAUAUGCGAACUCUCCUAAAUUUUGGAAUUUUGAAAGAAAUUUGCGGGUGCGCAAAACACACCUCGCAUGUACCUGUGAUAGUGUGAAUUUCCAAGAAGUGGAGAAAUAUGAACAGAAUGACAGUUAAGAAAAGCAGUAGCACAUAAACAUUUAUAACAAACAAAUAAUUUAUAGCAUGUAGACAUAAUUUAUAGCUAAUGAAUAAUUUAUAUCAUGUGAAAAUAAUUCAAAGCAAACAAACAAUUAGUUGAAUGUAAAAACAGUUUAAAACAAAUAAUGUAAUUAAAGUAAGCACAUAAAAGCCUAAUUAAACUAAAUCCGUUGUGGUUAGAACCUAAUAAGUUCCCCAGUGAAGUCACCAAGCUGUUAUACCCCAUUUUAACCGGAUCAAAAUAGUGUACAACAUUUUGAUGAUUCCAAAGGUAGUAACUAAAUCAAGAAGUCGCCACCUAAUUAAUUAUGGUGAAUUAGGACACCUAAAUUGAUUAAAGUCAUUGUCUAAAGUUAAACUUCAUUUUAAGGUCUACCAAACUUAAGAUUCUAGGUAAGGGUUCAACUAAUUUAAAGGGAAGGGGUUAGGCUGUAACAUCCGACAAUUUAAAAUGAAUAUGAAGAAGCUUGAAAUUGGAAGUAGUCACUUUUGGAAAAAGUGACGAAUCUGGAAAUUUGGCUAAGUUUACAAUCUGGAAAAUUUGGCUAAGUGUGGAAAUCAGUGAGUUUUUGGCCAAUUUUGAGCAGUCGUAACUCCUAGAUCAAGAUGAGUUAGGAGUAGUUCCAGUUAUGGUUGUGAAGCUUGUGGAAUGAUCUUUUCAACGCCACUGAGUUUGCUCAAUUCCGAGUUCGUAUGAGCGAGUUAUUCCCGUUGAAAAUUAGGCAGUUGGCAGGGAAUCCGUCUAGAAAAUUUAAGGGCAUUUUGGUCUUUUCCCUAGCCAUUUUUUUGGGAUUAUAUUGGGUGUUAGGAUGAUUUUGGAUCAUUUUUAUCCCAUUCUAAGAGAGAAAGAGUUAGGGUUCUUGAUAGUGAAGAAGAGAAGAAGAGGAGAAGAAGAGGAGGAAGGGAAGAUCAAGCAAAAAUUUGUCAAGAUCAUCGUGGAUUUUCAUCGGGGGUGAUCCCUGUGAAGGUAUGUGAGUUCAUAGUGAUGGAUUGAUUCUUUCCCCCACACACCAAACUCGUUUUAUUAUUGAGAAAAGAUUGGUUGUGUUGUUUGGAGUUGUUGGUUGUGUUGUUGAUAUUGUUAAUUGUGUUGUUGAAGUCCCUUGUUGAUUUGGGACAUAAUUUGGUUGCGUUUUGAGUUGAAUCUCUUGUAUGUUGAAGGAUUUUAUGAUCCUUAGUGUUGGUUGGUUCAUACCCCCCACACACCAACUCGUUUUUAAUUCCAAGAAAAUAUUUAUUUUGGUUGUUGAAGUUGUUGGUUGUGUUGUUGAAGUUCUUGCUGAUUUGGGAUAGGAUUUGGUUGCGUUUUUUAGUGGAAUCCACUGUAUGUUGAGGGAUUUAUGACCCCAAGUGUUUGGGAAAAGAACCUUUGAAGUUAAGAGGGUUAGAGUUGGCAACAUGAAGGAGAAAAGUCAGGCUGCUUUCAGGAAACAAGUCUGCGUCGCGGCUGUGUUCCCUCAGUGAACAAAAUCUGCUAUGUUUUCAGAAUUUAAUUUCGUAUUCUUCUUAAGUUUAGCUGUCCUAAAUUAUUCCUAAACAUAAUGGGGUCCUUCCAAACACAAAUCAUUACCCUUGAAUUCAUAAUUCCAAUUCAAGGAGAGUUAGUUAGAAGUCAAGUGAAGUUAGAAGUUAAGAGUUAAGCUUAGAAGUUAAGUAAGUCAAGCAAGUUGUAAAGUUGUUCAAGAGUCUUUAUUGAACGUUUUAACUUCAUUUUUAGANNNNNNNNNNNNNNNNNNNNNNNNNNNNNNNNNNNNNNNNNNNNNNNNNNNNNNNNNNNNNNNNNNNNNNNNNNNNNNNNNNNNNNNNNNNNNNNNNNNNNNNNNNNNNNNNNNNNNNNNNNNNNNNNNNNNNNNNNNNNNNNNNNNNNNNNNNNNNNNNNNNUGUAUUCCCAAAGAAGUUUUUAAAGAAAUGUUUUUACAUUUAAACAAGGUUGGAAACUGAGAUUUCCAAAAUAGCCUUCGGGCUAGUUUUUGAGUAAUUAUCUCAUAUCAGCAGGAAGAAAUAUGUUUUAAAAACAUAAGAGCCAGUACAUUUUUGGGAGUAGUAUCGAGCACCGAAUUGGGGGAGAAAAUAACUUUUAUCCAAAAAUUGUUUUGAUCUUGUAAUAAAAUAUAUUUUUUGGAACUAAUCAAAUGUAGUAAGAUAUUUAAAAUGUACCAGUCCAUUUGUGGAAAACGUUUGAAUUUACAAUCAAAGUUAAAAACAAACAUCUUUGAUUAGUUUACACUUAUGAGUGGUUAAAAAUAUCGUAGGUAAAAAACAUUUCUUUUCUUUUUACUAUUAAGCCAAACUCUAGGGAAUAAGAUAAUUUUAUUCAUAUUAUUAAACUAAGUGUCUCAUCGAUAAAGUUUUCAAAUAGAGAUCAAAUAUAUCUAGAUUGUUAAAUAAAGCAUCACAGCAAACCAAAUAAUUUAGCAAGCAUAAUGGUAAAGAAUAGGCUAGAUAACUAAUUGGCUCUGGAAAUAGGAAAAGCGAGUAAGUGUUUUAUCAAAAUAUGAAUGGUCAAUCCCAUGUUCGGUUUAUGCAAGCUCCAUGUGACAAUGGUGUCGUUGAGUCUCAUGGUGAGACUCUUCAGCUCCGGUGUGAACAUGUAAAGACAAGAAAGAAAAUGAGAAUUAGAGAGUUAGGAAAAUCAAUUGUAACAACUUCAAAUUAGAAAUCAUACAAAGCAGGUGACAUGUAAAGGGCUUAAACAAGUCAUAAAACAUAUAUAUAUAUAUAUAUUAGCUUAACUAAUAUUAAAUGGAAGUUUGAAAGAGAUAAAUUGUGUUCAUAAAAAUUCCCAAAUCUUCAUCUUGAACACACACAUAUCACAAUAGUUGAAACUAGAGAGAUUCCUACAGUAUAUGAUUUUUAGUCGAAGAGACAACAAUGACAAACAAACAAUAUGUACAGACACUCACAUGUUUACAACAAUCAGACCGAGUGAUACAAGGAGGUGAAAGGACUGGCCUUUCUUACUAUCCACGUAGAUAUCAAACAAGUCAAGGCGAGAAACAAAUAAAUUGAGACGUCACUUAUGUAAACUCGUGUUCAUUCAGAAAGGAUACAAAUAUGAUAAACUUGAUUUGUGAAAAAACGGAUAGCAAUUCAAAGAACUUUUAACAACCACAUAUUUACAGACUCAUAUACUAAAACAAACUCAAAAAUUAAAAUUACAUUUCUGUCGGCAAAGGCCAACAGAAAAAUACAACAGCAAGAUAAACUUGGAACUAAAAAUGAAUCACAUAUUCAUGGAACCAAAAUAGAUGGAGGCGAGAAAAAUAUGUAAGUGAAUAAAAUGAUGAAUUUUACCUUUUGUGGAGCAGUGAACUGAAGGCGUUGUCGAUCUAGAAUCCCAAAUUCGCUAUUUCAAAACGAGCAAGGAUGAACAACCUUUGCUAAAACUAAAACACGUAUGAAAGUAUUUCGAAGCAAGGCAACUAAGACUUUUUGUGCGUGUUCUUGCAAGUGUUCUGGCCUUUGAGAAAGGUGAAAAUUGCCAAUGUUCAAAGGUGCUUUUGGCUGAGAGUUUGAGAUGUAUUUAUAGGCCAAAAUUCGGAUUAAGAUAUGUUUGAGCGGGAUUUUGAACAUGACUGUUUGAAUUCAAAAUGACCGUUCACAAUAAUCCAAAAUAAGGCCAAAGAGAUGUUGAAAUCUCUCUGUAUUCCAGGUCUACAUAUUUCAUAAUAGGCCAAGGAUUUGAAAUCUUUUUGAGUGUUCAAAGAGAAAAAGUGGUCUUGAUCGAGAAAGAUGUUGAAAAAUAAUAAUACAACGAGUGAGAAGAGUUUCACCAAAAUAGAGAAACCAAAAUAAUGUCCAUGUUGAAAGCUAAAUGGAGCUUUGCACGUAAAUGGAAAAGGAGAAAGUGACGUUUUGGAGAAAAGUGUGGCUGAUGAGUUUAGAAUAAUAUUAGGGUUGAAGAUUUUCUGAUAUAUUUUAAAUGGGCUAGCGAAUUUGGGACUAUUUUGGACAGAUUUGACAUCAUAAUCGGGCUGAUAUUUGGUCCGAUUAGAAUUCGAUUAGGCCCAAUUUUAUGGUCUUUUUCUUUCUUAUAUUAAUUCUUUUGAGCUUCUAACUAGGGACAAUGAAUUAAGGGUUAUAGAAAAGUUUCAAAAUUAAGGAUUGGUGACUCAAGUUUUAAUUAUUGAGUAGGGGUGAUAAUUUUUAAAUUAAAAAUUAAGGGGUUGAAUUUUUCAUCCCUAAGUUUUUUAUUUUACACUUUAGUCCAUCUUAUAAAAAAUUCCAAAUAAUAAGAAAUUGAGGGGAAAAAAAAGGUACCAACGGCUCACUUUUUUUCCCUUUUUCUCUCUUGCUUAUUCUUCCAUUGUUGGGGACCAUUGUUGCUGCUCUUCUUCUUGAUUCUUCUUCUCCAUCAUCAUUCUUUCUUCUUGUUCAUCACCAUCUUCUUUUGGUUGUUCAUCAUUUUUUUUUCUUCAGUUGAUAUUCACAUAGUACUGUUGCUUUUAAACCAAUUUUCAUUCAUAUAUCAUUGGGCUAAUUCAUAAGUGAUUUUGGUAAGUAAACUAAUGAUUUUUACUCUAAUAUUUCAUUUUGGUAAUUUGAGUGUUUCUUAAAAAAUUUACAGUCGCGUACCCAACAGGUAAGUCAUCUGUUGCAACAGAUAGAUUACAUGUUGGAUACAUAUUACAGUACCAUGUCAAGCUGGGACUGAACCAGAAGCUUGUCCCAACAGAUAAGUCAUUUAUUGCAACCGAUGAGUCAUUUGUUGCAACAGAUGGAUUACCUGUUGGAUACAUAUUAUAGUAUCAGGCCAAGCUGGAAAAGAACCAGAAGCUUGUUACAACAGAUAAGUCAUUUAUUGCAACAUAUGAGUUAUCUGCUGCACCAGACGACUCAUAUGUUGCAACAGAUGGCUUACCCGUUGGAUAUAUGUUGCAACAAAUGGAUUACCUGUUGGAUACAUAUUAUAGUAUCAGGCCAAGCUGGAAAAGAAUCAGAAGCUUGUUACAACAGAUAAGUCAUUUAUUGCAACAUAUGAGUCAUCUGCUGCACCAGACGACUCAUAUGUUGCAACAGAUGACUUAUCCGUUGGAUACAUGUUACAGUACCAAGCCAAACUAGGACAAAACCAGAAAUUUGUCCAAACAGGUAAGUCAUUUAUCGCAACGGAUCAAUUACCUAUUGCAACAAAUGACUCAUUUGUUACAACAAUAGACUUACAUGUGAAUCAUCUGCUGCAACUGAUGAUCUACUUGUUGCAAUAGAUGAUUGACUAGUUGGGAUAAUAAUUGUGCAUAUGAUUUUUAAUUGUAUAUAGCCACUCAACUUUACUAUACAAUCAUUAUUAAAUAUUUUUAAUAAACUCCUUUAGGUACCAUUAAUGGAAGAAUCAAUAACAAUAGCUAUUGAUUGUUAUGGUGAAUAGAUUGAGAAGAACAAUUGAUUUAUUUGGCGUUGGAAGGAUGGUGACAUGUCAGAGUCAAUAUUGAUGACCGUCCAAAGGGAUAUUUUGUAUAAUGAUUUUGUGAAACUCAAUCAUUAGCUAUUGUGGACUAAAUUGGACACAAGAAACAACAUGCCCGAUUCGAAAUGCUCCAUAAUUAUUGUAAUAGUGAAAUAACUAUUUUUGUACUUUAGUUAUGAAUCUUAUAAUUGUAACUCAUUUUGGUUAAUUGUGUAUGUUCAUAUUUAUUAUAUAAAAUAUAUUAGUUAUGCUCAUCUAUUGCAACACUUUGUAUAUUUUGCAUUAGAUGCAUUAUCUAUUACAUUAUUUGUUGCAAUAGAUAACCAUCUGUUGAAAAUACUCAAAUAAAUAUGAUCAUCUGUUGCAACAAUUAUAGGAAUCUGUUACAACAAAUGUCUAAUAUGUAUUACAUGUUGCAAUAGAUGACCCAUCCAUUUGGAAAUAAUCAAGCAUAUAUGCUCACUUGUUGCAAUGGAUGCUUCAUCUGUUGCAACAUAUGAGCAUAUAUGUUUGAUCAUUUUCAGUCGACUCUAUAUAUUUCUGAUAUGAAAUGUUUUAUUAGCCCAUAAUUAGUGAUAAAUAAAGUUAUUCAAUUAUAAUUACCUUUCAAUUAUAAGUUUAAUUAUAAUCUCAAUGCAUUAUAGCGUAAUUACAUGAUCAACUAAUUGUGUUCGUCUUUAAUAAAGUGAUCAAUUGAUUAUUUUGAUAUGAAACGCUUAAUUAAUCCAUAAUUAGUGAUAAAUAAACUUAUUUAAUUAUAAUUACCUUUCAAUUAAUAAGUUCAAUUACAUUUUCAAUGUAUUGUAGAGUAAUUACAUGAUCAACUAACUGUAUUCGUCUUAAAUAAAGUGAUCAAUUGAUUAUUUUGAUAUGAAAUUCUUCAUUAACUCAUAAUUAGUGAUAAAUAAAGUUAUUUAAUUAUAAUUACAUAUCAAUUAUAAGUUUAAUUAUAAUCUCAAUGCAUUAUAGCGUAAUUACAUGAUCAACUAAUUGUGUUCGUCUUUAAUAAAGUGAUCAAUUGAUUAUUUUGAUAUGAAAUUCUUCAUUAACUCAUAAUUAGUGAUAAAUAAAGUUAUUUAAUUAUAAUUACAUAUCAAUUAUAAGUUUAAUUAUAAUCUCAAUGCAUUAUAGCGUAAUUACAUGAUCAACUAAUUGUGUUCGUCUUUAAUAAAGUGAUCAAUUGAUUAUUUUGAUAUGAAAUGCUUCAUUAACCCAUAAUUNNNNNNNNNNNNNNNNNNNNNNNNNNNNNNNNNNNNNNNNNNNNNNNNNNNNNNNNNNNNNNNNNNNNNNNNNNNNNNNNNNNNNNNNNNNNNNNNNNNNNNNNNNCAAUUAUAAAAUAUGAUUAACUAAAUAUGAUAAGUGUUCAUGAAUUACAAUUCAUAUAGAAUUCUUCAUCUUACAAAAUAGAAUUCAUGAUAAAAUAACUUGACAUCUAUGUAAUAUAAAAUAUUGUCAUCGGCAAUUAUAAAAUAUGAUUAACUAAAUAUGAUAAGUGUUCAUGAAUUACAAUUCAUAUAAAAUUCUUCAGCUUACAAAAUAGAAUUCAUGAUAAAAUAACUGGACAUAUAUUAAAUAUAAAAUAUUGUCAUCAUCAAUUAUAAAAUAUCAGGUUCUUCACCUUACAAAAUAUGACUUCAGCAACCCAUAUGCUCUACAACUUCUGUUGCUCUUCUAUGGCUCCUGAAGAUGACUCAACAUUGCAAGGAAGAGGAGUAGUUGCAAUUUGUUGUCUCUUUUUCAUAUUUGAUAAUAUCUUGGAAAUUGAUUUUCUUCUCUUCUUAAUCUUCAAUGGUGUGAAUGGAUCCGAAUUUUUUCUUGAUGGAAUAACACCUCUUGGAUAUCAAUUCCUUAACAGCACUAGUAAGAGCAUCAAGAGACUUCUUCACCAGUAGAUAUUAACUGAGCAUCUUUGUUCUUACAUUCUUCACAUUCACAUGCAGAACAUGAGCCAAAAGGAUCAAAAGAUGUGGUAUGUCCACUGAAAGGGGUGAAUCCACCAUAUAUACCACCAAUAUCAUCAACAUGCUCACCACCACUUUUAGCACCAACAUCACCAAUAUCAACACCAACAUUAACAUCAACAUCUAUUGCAACAUCAUCAGCAUCACCAGAAACAAUAGGUGCUUCCCUUUGAUCGUUGUUGCUCCAGCCAAAUUUUUUUAUCAGAUCCACUGUAGGGUCUGAUUUUGUGUCAAUAAUUCCUAAAGUUAAAAAGAAUGACAUUUGCAACUCUUACUCUGUGGGGACAAGUCAUGGAUGUACAAUCUAUAAACAAAAGUAGUUUAUAUUAAAACUAAUCUAUAAAUUAUAAUUUAUAAAAUAUUUAUUGUAAUAUUUACCUAUAUACUUAAUUUCUAACAUAUGACCCAUUUGUUGCAACAGAUGGGCCAUCUAUUGGAACAAAGCAAAACAGUAGCAAAUGAUCAAGUUUUCUUAUAACAGAUGACUGAUCUGUUGCAACAGAUAGGUCAUCCGUGGGAAGUAAGUAAAACAGCAACAAGCUAUUGAGAUUUCGUCCAAUAGAUGACCCAUCUGUUUCAACAGAUCGGCAAUCUGUUGGAUGAAAGCAAAAUAACAACAAAAGAUUGAGAUUUCGUCAAAUAUAUGACCUAUCUGUUACAACGAAUAAGUCAUUUGUUGGACCUAAGUAAAACAAUAACAAAUGAUUAAGUUUUUGUCCAACAAAUGACCCAUCUAUUGCAACAGAUCAGUCAUCUGUUGGACAAAAGCAAAACAGUAGCAAACUCUUUAUGUUUUCUUCCAACAGAUGACCUAUCUAUUGCAGUAGAUGACUAUAGAUGAGUCAUAAAAUAAAAUUGAUGCAAAGAGGAGUCUUCGCAAGAUCAAACUUUUUUCUCACAUUUGAAAUUGCUAACGAAUACAUAAAGAGAAGACAACUCAAGUUCUUCUUUUGCUUUAUAACUAAAAAGGAAAAGAAAGCUUAAUCCUGAUUAUGAUGUUAUGCACACCUUGUAGACAUUGCUGCUCAAAUCCAAUUAGGCAGAAUCUCUAACUUACACUAUUGAAAAACUCAUGGCCCCAUGACAAACUCUUCUAAUCUUCCCCAAUUGCAACAUAACUAUGUGUAAGUUAGAACAACAAAUCGUAUAUUAGCCAAUAGUUCGAUUUGAUUAAAAACAUUUAAUCAUUUCAGCUUAGCCUAAGUGUAGAAAAUAAUCUUAGAAAGACUUUGUCUUGUACUUGUUGCUUUGUUCCAAAAAUAUUAUAGCCAAAGGGAUCUUAUUCCAUAGAUAUAAGAGUUUAUAAGUAAAGAAGAAUAAAGCCCUUCUCUUUGCAUGAAUUGUUGAAAGUAAAAAUCAUGUGAACUCUAGAAAAUUGACUUUAGCACUGUUCUUGGAGGCAAUAAAUUAUUUAUGAUGUCUUGAUUAUGUUUUCUUUUCUUCAUUCUUUCCAACAAAAUCAAGAAUACCAACAACACCAAUUGAUUCAAUACAACAACACAAACAACAAUAAAGAAAGUCAAUAUAUCAACAAUUGUUCGAGAAAUACAAAUAAUAAAUAUGUCUACGAAAAACUACAAAAUACACAAUAACUAUUACUAUUACACAACAAUAUUGGAGAACAACAACAACAAAUUAUGGUUUUUUUUCGGAUUUGUCUUCUUUUUCAAGCAUCAACUUCUAAAAUUGCUAACGUAUACAUAAAGAGAAGACAACUCAAGUUCAUCUUUUUCUUUAUAACUAAAAAGCCCUAAUUUUUUUCAAAAUAAAAGUUUUUACCUGCGAAGAGAGAAAAUUGAUGCUUAGAAUCGAAGCAAUUGCCAAAAGUUGAAAAGUUGAGACUCGAAAGUUGAAAAGUUGCUGGAAGUCGAUUGGAAGCGAUGGCGGAGCAGAUUUGAGGAAGAGACAUUUGAGUCGGAAGAGAGGAAGAACAAUGAAUAAGAGAAGUUAAAGAAAGUGGAGAAUCCAAGAAAGUGGAGAGAAAUUUGGAUUGUUUUGUAUUUUAAAAUUUGGACUGUUUUGUAUUUUUAAAAAGAUUAGAAGUUUUGAAAAUGUUAAUUCAGUCCCAAUUAACUUAAUCUAAUAAUUAAAUGUUUUGACUCUUUUUUUGGUCAAAAUAGUCACCAAAGUUUAUAUAGAGACUUAAGAGACACUUUCUAUUCAAUUUUCUCUUCUAACUAGUAUAAAUACUUUAUAUAAAUUUUUUAGUAAGGAUGAAACUUAAAAUAAAGUAACGACAAUCUAUUUUAAAGAAGAUGACGAUGAAGUAAUAAUAGUAAAGUUAAUUAAAUUUUUUUAUAUAAUUUUGAAAUAGUGAAAAAUGAUAAUAGAAAGAUGAUAAUCAUAAAAACAGUAAAAUUUAAAGUAAUACAAAUAAUAACAAUAGUGAUAAAUGGAAAAUAAUAGUGAAUUAUAAAGUAUUCGACUUAUUACCAAUUUAGAAGCUCAACGAAAUAAAUUAGAAGAAAGGAGGGACAAAAUUUGGUGUCAACACUCGCACACAGCAUGACUCCAUUUGGGUGAUUGUUGAUAGGGUUACUAAGUUUUCUCUCUUUUUGGAGGUCAAGACUACAAAUUCGGCGGAGGAUUACGCCAAGCUUUACAUUAAUGAGAUUGUGAGGUUGCAUGGGGUUCCUUUGUCUAUCAUCUCAGAUAGAGGUGCUCAGUUUACUUCUCAUUUCUGGAAGUCAUUUCAGAAAGGUCUUGGUACUCAGGUUAAUCUUAGCACAACAUUUCAUCCNNNNNNNNNNNNNNNNNNNNNNNNNNNNNNNNNNNNNNNNNNNNNNNNNNNNNNNNNNNNNNNNNNNNNNNNNNNNNNNNNNNNNNNNNNNNNNNNNNNNNNNNNNNNNNNNNNNNNNNNNNNNNNNNNNNNNNNNNNNNNNNNNNNNNNNNNNNNNNNNNNNNNNNNNNNNNNNNNNNNNNNNNNNNNNNNNNNNNNNNNNNNNNNNNNNNNNNNNNNNNNNNNNNNNNNNNNNNNNNNNNNNNNNNNNNNNNNNNNNNNNNNNNNNNNNNNNNNNNNNNNNNNNNNNNNNNNNNNNNNNNNNNNNNNNNNNNNNNNNNNNNNNNNNNNNNNNNNNNNNNNNNNNNNNNNNNNNNNNNNNNNNNNNNNNNNNNNNNNNNNNNNNNNNNNNNNNNNNNNNNNNNNNNNNNNNNNNNNNNNNNNNNNNNNNNNNNNNNNNNNNNNNNNNNNNNNNNNNNNNNNNNNNNNNNNNNNNNNNNNNNNNNNNNNNNNUACAAGAUCUUGAAAAAAGUUGGUAAAAUGACUUAUGAGUUAGAGUUGCCAGCAGAUUUGGCAGCAAUGCAUCCAGUCUUCCACAUUUCGUUGUUGAAGAAGUGUGUGGGUGAUCCAACAUCUAUUAUAUCUUUAGAAAGUGUGGCUGUGAAAGAUAGUCUCACUUAUGAAGAGGUACCAAUUGAGAUUCUCGAUCGUCAGGUUAGAAGGUUGAGAAACAAUGAAGUCACUUCAGUCAAGGUUUUGGGGAGGAGUCAGUCCGUAGAGGGAGCUACUCGGGAAGCAGAAGCAGCCAUAAAGUCUAAGUAUCCUCACCUCUGUCCUUACGAUUCCACUCCAGCUUGAGGUAAUAGUUUCUCUUCAGUUUUUCAGUCAUUCAUGCAUAAAUUCAGUCUUAGAAUAAUUUUUCUGCAGUUUGUACUUGCAUUUUCAGAGUAUUUGCAUGUUCUUGGAACUCAGUUCAGUCUGAAAUUCAGUUCUUAGUGUUUAGUGGUAGGGAUUGCAACCCUCUCCCUAGUUUAGUCUUCAUUCGAGGACGAAUGGUCCCAUGGGGGAGAUAAUGUAACACCCAGUAUCCGAAACAGAUCAAAAAUACAGAUUUUGAGAAGUUGCAGGUGCAACCCACGGUUGCCACCCACGGACCGUAGGUCAGACCACGGUCCGUAGGUCUGACCGUAAGUGAGGGUCAGCUGCCAGUUAGAGGAAAAUUGUUGAUUGGGUCAACUUCAAAUGGUCAUAACUCUUAACACAAAAGGAAUUAUAUUUACCAUAACCUAUGAUAUGAUAGAUAAUUGAAUCCUCUUUCCAACGCCACCUAGUUUGCUAAAAUCCGACCGCCAAGUAAAAAGUUAUGCUCGUUUUAGUGAAUCCCUGUCGGGCAGACUUAACCUACGACCCCAAUCUACGGACCGUAGAUUGACCUAUGGCCCGUAGGUCCCAUCCGUCAAUCACUCCGACAUCAGUUAAGUCAGGGGUCUUUUGGUCUUUUCCUAUUUCGUUGGACCCUUAAGCUACGUCGUGUAGACCCUAAAUUAUGAGGUUUUAGUCAAUUUAAGCCUAGAAACAUAACUAGAACUUACCUAAGUCAGAUCAUUCUUCAAAACUUAGAAAAAGUAGAAGCAAGAGAGGAGAAAAAGUCGAGAACCCUAGUUCAAGAACGCAACAAGGUUUCAUCAGUUCCAGCCCCGAAAUCUAAAGAUUUCUCCGUGGAAUUCGUCACCAUGUAUGUGGGAUUUCACUAGUGGGUUCCUUUCACCCAUUAGGUCCCUAGUUUUCAGUCAGUUUCUUGAUUCCCUUAUUAUUAACUAGACCUAGGGUUUCUAGAACCUCUAGCAGAUUAUCAUGAAUUAGUUAUUUACAUGUUCCAAAUCAGAUUAUCAUGGUAUUACUUCAUUUCAUGCAUGAAAUUCCAGAACCCUAGCUAUGUAUUUCUUUAGUUCUUGAAUUACACAUGCUAGGUCAGAUAUUUCAGUUUAUUCAGUUAUACAUGCCUCAGUUAUUAAUGCAUCAAUAUCAGUUUAAUUGUUGCAUUCUCAGCUUGCAUGUUCAGUUUGAGAUAUCCAGUAACUUACAGAAAUCCAGUCAUAAUGUGUUAAUCACUUAAUCUAUUGAGAGUAGCAUAAUACCGAGUUGGACUAGGGUUCAGCUUUACCCAUAUAGUCCUAAAACUACGAGCCACGUAGGUGUAAGUCCCUCUGUGGACAAUAUCAGUUAGUGAUCACGCCAGUCAUGCCUCUAUACCUUUGGUCGGGUAUAUUGGGUCCUUUCGAUGGGGCGUAUACAUCGGACUCCACAUUUAGCUCAUGUGAUUUUAUUGUCGGUCAUUAGUAGCUCCCACAGUUCACUCAGAUUCUAUUGCAUUGACCUCAUUUACAAUACAAUUAGUAUUCAGUUUCAGUAUGUUAUAAAUUUGGUCAUUGCAUUCAGUUAGCUUAGUAUUCAGUAGCUAUAUUAUGUUCAUAUUAUGCUCUUGCUUUAUUUCUCGUUCAAUUAUAUGUUAUUUCAGUUGUAUUCUAUCCUGCAUGCUCAGUACCUUUCAAGUACUGACGCAUACUCUGCGCUACAUCUUCUCGUGAUAUAGGCUCAGGUUCUCAGCAUCCAGAUCACGCUUAGAUCAGUUUCGGAUCUCCAGUUCAGCAUAAUCAGUGGUGAGUCCUCAUUCUCCGAGGACAAUAGUCAUGAGUUUCUUUUCAGUAUUUUUAGUCCUUUAGUUUCAGUUUUGUUAGACUUAGCUGGGGCCUGUCCUAACAUUUCUAGUCAGUUAAAGGCUAUUUUCAGACAUAGUUAGAUUCAACUUAGUAUUGAGUUAAUAUCUUCUUUGUAUUAAACUCAUCAGUUUUCAUUUAUCUCAGUUAGAGUAUAUGGGUAUUCCCCAUCUUUUCAUUUUGUUUAUGAUUAUAGCUUCCGCACAGUUUCUAUUAUUCUGUUUAUAUUUAGUAUGCUCAUGAUCAUGCCAGAAGGGUUAGCUUGGGAUCACUUGUGUCCUAGGUCCCGUGUCUGCGUCUCGGGGGUAGUUCGGAGCGUGACAAUGUGUAUAAAAAAAAUAGACAGAGACCAAAUCUGAUAAAUUUUUAAAUACUUAAAAAAUAUAAAAUCGGUAAGUGUAUAGUUAAGCGACCAUACUUGAUAACAUUUGGGAUAGUUAAAGGAUAAAAUCCGAUAAAUGUAUAGUUAAAAGACUAUUUUAGACCUAUUACAAUAGUUCAGAGAUCAUUUAUGACUUUUUUUCUCCGUAAUUACAAGUGACAAUUGCCAAAAAGAAUAAUACAAGUGCUUCACAAAAAAUAGACAAAGUUCAUUCGUUAAUUGGUGAGGGAAAAAAUUAAUACCAACAAAUUCGAUAGAUUUUGUAAAAAUAAAAAAAAUCAAUUCAUCAAUUAUAUUUCCUUAAAUUACAAAAUUAUAAAAUGCAUCUUUUGAAAAAUACAAUUCAGAUUAUAAGUACCGUGAGUGGGUACUAUUCUACCAUUACAUCACAAAUAUUCUUUGGUUUAAGACAUUUUAUUUUUUAUUUGAUACACUUUCAUCGAUAAAGACGAUAUAAAAAAUAAUUUAUCAAGUCUUGGUGCUAAUUUUUGUGCGUGUCUAUCGAUUUUGUGGUUUAUAAACUGUAUAGACUAAGUCGAUCUAUUUGGUUCUGUCUAAAAAUGCGUAGUUAGUAGUGAUUUCACAUAUGUAGAGGACCUAUACACAGAUAAUAUCGAUUUACAAACUUAGAUUUUGUAAAGAUGUGAAAUAUUACAUGAAUUUCUAUUAACCUUUUUCAUCCGUGUGAAAUUUGAAAUAACAAAAAAAAAAAUUGAUAGCACAAAUGAAAUAAAUUAACCAACUAAGAUUUCAAAUAUAUUAUGAUAAAUUACUAUAGUUAUGGGUUUCAAUAUGUUUUUUAAAUCGAUUUACUGAUUGAAUCAAACCUAUUAUUACUUUUCUUUUAAUAAAAUCGAAAGUUUAAUUUUAUAUAAAUUUAUAAUUGUACUGAAUAAUUUUAAAAUAAAAAAUAACAGAAUUGUACUGAAUAUAUUUAGAGAUAUUUUCAAAAGUAUACAGUUUAAUAAAAUAACUACAUCUACAUAGCCCAUAUUUUUAAAACUACAUUUGUAUUGUCAUUUCCACAAGAUCGUAUACAACAUUAUACUUGUACAAAUGUAUAGAGUUGCACAUUAUAACUGUGCAUGAAUGUAUACACUUGUAUAUACAUGUAUAAUAGUGUAUAAAAGGUGUUUAUAUACAAUUUUAUAUUAUUAUACAUAAUUAAUAUUUCUAUUAUUCAUUAUUUCCUAUUGUGUAUGUAGGCAUGUAAUUUUUUACCGAACUUCAGAUUUUACACCAUUUUUAGUGUUUAAAUAUUUUGAUUUUUUUAUUAAGUUUAUUUUAAAUGAUGUGAAAGCCACAAAAAUUGAAUCACAUUUAAAGAUAAGUUUUAUUUUCAAUUGUUUAAAAAAGAAAUGAAAGGUUACAAAAAAUAUAUAUAUUCUUUUGAAUUAAGAUUAAUAAGAAGGUAAUAUUUCUUAACUAUAAUUUCAGAUUAGCUAUUUAAUUAUUUUUUUAUUUUUAUUAGUUCAAAACAAUUAGCUAAUAUUUUUAUUAUUAUAAUUUUUAAUUAUAUUUAAUUAAAAAUAAAAAUAACCUAAACCCACUUCCUAAUUAAAUCACCCCCCACUAACCUAAAGCUACCCCACAACUUCCUCAUCCUAACUAUCUGCUACGCACAACAUAAACCCCCUCACACACACACGACACAACACACCCUUAUAUCUACAAAAACAAAGCAUUUGACAUUCCUUUCAAACAAUAACAUUGCAACAUAUAUACACCCAUAUAUCUACAAAAAGCAGUCCUACAAAUAAAAAACCUACACUCCAAAAACAAAGAAAAUAAGAUCGAAUUCUUUCGUUCAUGAUUUUGAGUUCGUGGUAUUACAAGUAGUGGCAAGACGCACACUAUGCAGGUAAGUUACUCAUUUUGAAUACCUCCUUCUUUUUUGAAUUUGAGAGAAACAUUGUUUAUUUCUCCUUUAAGUUACUCAUAUAGAGAAAAUAUAUAUGACUAUAAAUACCACUAAUUUAUAAAGCAAUGUAGUUACAUUUACAAUGAAAAAAUAAUGAAACUUUUAUGUGUAAGAUGCUUUUUUUUUUUGGAGACAACCAAGGAAAUUAUUAUUAGAUCUAUUUUGGUGCUCUUAAGUGAAAUGUGUGAUUUUAAAUCUUGUUAAAACCUAUUGUCAUCAGUUUCCUACUGUUGUUGGCUUGCAUUUGUUAAUUAUUCUAUAUUACUUGUUAUUAUCAACUUCCUACAAAUAGGUAAUUUAAUAUAUUGUUCAUCUUUGAAGAAUUGAGUUGAUUAGUAAAUGUUAUAUUCUUUAAAUAAAUAUUAGAUAUAUAUAGUUGCUACUAUAGGAAGAAAAAGGAGCAACCGUUAAAUAUCCCCAAUUUCUUUAAACUGACAAUCGCAUAAUAGAUUAACAUGUUACUGCCCUUUUUUAUUCUAAUUGAAAGUUAGACAUGUACAAAUGACUUUUUGUGACCUUUUGGAUAGAUGAAAAUAAUUUAGUUAUUUUGAAGUAGAAAUCAAAUGUUUCAUUAACGAAACCCAACUAAAACUACAAAGUGUUGCAUCUUAAAGUGACAAAUUCGUUGUGUUUUGCUUAUAUGAUGUUUGUAUACAAAGAACUAAAAAUAUCUUCUUUAAAUGUCCGAGUUAGACCCUUGAAAAAAUGAAUGAGAAUUACAUUGUUGAUAACAUGCACCUAAUUAACAUGCAUAACAUUUUAAUUUUGAGUUAGAUUAAAAAAGAUUUUGACUUGCAAGUAUUUAUAUGUCGACUUUGAUUAAAAAAAGCCUUUUGGCUACUUUAUUUGUGUCAUUUCUUAGUCACAUAAAUUUGUUUUACAACUUGAUGGCUUUUUUCUAUUAUGUUCUAAAAAUUUACUUGAAUUUUAUUUUCUAGAACUCUCAUCCUUUUUUUCCUUUGCAACGAAAUGAAUGAGGCUAUAAAUUAUAGUUAUAUGUAGUUUCUCCUUUAAUUCAAGUCAUGUUUGAUUCUAAUGUGAGAAUUCCUACAUAGAUUACAUUAUAUUUUAAUAUUUAGUAGUUUUCAUGAAUGAUAAAAUCUAUACUAUAAAUUGAAAAUUACUAAUAUAUAUAUAUAUAUAUAUAUGGAAUUGUAAUACCAGGGACAAUCUAUCCAAUAAGCCUUAUAAAACUGGACAUUACAACCUAUGAAAGACAAUCAUGGUACAUAUUUUACUUUUGACUCUAGUAUAAACAUCUCAAUUUAAAUCUUACAUUUAUUUUUUGUCUUUUUUGUGUUACAGGUAUAAAAGGUGAGAAUUGAAUCAAGAUUGAUUGCAAGCUAAGUGUCAGCACAUUAUUGAUACUUUGGAAGGAACUUUUACUUUUAUGUCUUUGUUUAUGAGUAAUAUUUAGUAUAUUUCAGUUAGAUUUUUUUGUUAUUGGACAUAUUUUACUUUUAUUUAAGGAGUUUGUAAUGAGAAUUAUCUUAGUAUAAUUUUAGUUGUUUUAUUAUAUGAUCAUAGGUGAAUUUUAUCAUUAUAUAGCAUAUUUUACUAUUUAAUUUUCAAUAUGCAACUCUAAUUUAAUAAAUAAUGUCAAUACAAAAUAAUCAAAUGUCAUCAAUUAUUAGUGAUUAGUGACAAAAUAUUUUAUCAUCAAAGGUAACUUGUAGCAACGAUAAAAAUAAUUUUUUUAAGAUAAAUAUUUUGUCAUGAAAAAAUUAUUUCAUCACAAGUUGACUACAUUUAGUGACAAAAGUAUAUUGUCCUAGUGCCCCUUUUUAUUGAAUAUGAAUUAUUUUAUUGUUUUGUGACAAUAUCAUGAUAAUAUUUAGGACAAUAUAUGUUAUCGGUAAAAGAAAUCCUUUUAGUGACAAAUGAUAGAUUUAACCACAAAAUUAUUAACCUUUUUUAUAAUAAUAAAUUUGUCCAUAAUUUAUUUAUUUAAGGACAAAAUAUUUUUUGUAUAUAAAAAAUAGUCAUUAGCGACGAUAUUAGAUUUGUUCAACUACGAAAUAUAUAUAACUUUAGACACAAUUAGUGUCGUCACUGAUUGAACUAAAUAAUUAGCGACGAUAUAAUUUUGUCGGUAGUAAUAUCCCUUUUAGUGACAAAACAUACUAUUAACUACAAAAAAGUUACACUUUUUACGACAAAUAAAUUUGUCACAAAUGUUUAUGCAUUUGGAGACGAUUUUUAUUUUUGUAGUUAAUAUAAUACUUUUAGCGACGAAACACUAAAUUGACUUUGUAUACUUUUAGCGACACACAUUUAGUGACGACUGAUUGACGACAUUUUUUUCGUCACACAAAAUUUUUAGUGACGAAAUAUGAUUUAUAGAUGUCGAAAUUAUUUGUCCUUGAUAAUCAAAUUUGUUGUAGUGAGUUGUAAAUUCAUCAAAUUUUGCUAUUUAAAUUAUGGGUAGCUUUUUGUUGUUGUUUCAGAUUGGAUUUUGGCUGAGAGACUCAAUUGUAACUGAAUAACAAAGUCUAAGUCCAUCAAAAAAUCGUCUUUUUGAUUUGUCACCGGAGAAGAAUUUCAUUGACGACGAGCUGGUUUCCUCUGCGACAACAACAGUAUCUGAUUUCUUCUCCUCGUCCUUGGACGAUGGGGGUGGCGGUGGAACAGUGAGAGCAGUUUAACAACUAUUUCAACUCCACUAAAAAAAUUUUGCUCAGGUUUUGAAAGUUCUUCAACAGGUUUUGGAAGUUCUUCAGCUUUGUUGUUCUCUUCCUUAAACAAAGAAGAUGCAAUAAUUGAGGGUUCAAAUUGGCAAUGGCACGCGUCAUUUUUGCACUGGCUUGGAGUUGAAUUUUAGUCAUUCACGCGCUUCUCAAACGUGAUAUCACAUCCUCUAUGAAAAUGGGUUAAAAUGGUGUAUUUAUAAUGAUUGAAAAUGGUUUCGUGGGUAAUAGGACCCUCGCAAACUUUAAGUGUCUACUUGAAAAACAAGUAUAAGUUUGAUAGAGUAAUUAUGUAUUUUCUCUGUAAUUAUGAUCUAAGUAUGAGUAAAUGAAGAUAACUAUUGCAUAUGCUACUAAAAUAACUUGGGUACAUAAUGAAUUGUGUUGGGCCCGUGCAAAUUGCUUAUCUAGUAUAUAUAUAAGCUGACAAAAAGGUGGGCAAAAAACAAACAGAAAAGGGAAAAGAAAGAAAAUAAGGAAGGUAUAGUGUAGAAAAUUACCAACUUUUGUCUAGCAGUAAAAUCUUUCCUAGUUGGUAGAAUGGAAACUAUGGGAUAAACAAUGAUUAAAAGGGUGGAAUAAAUAAAUAAAGAAACACGAAAGUUUAAAAAAUCGUAUCUAUUUCAUCAUUAAAACGAAAAAAAAGUGGCAUCUUAGUAGUAGCAAUGAUUGAAUGGCAAUAGCAGGCUCCAAUCCAUACAAAAUCUUGUAGCAAUUUUGGGCCACGCACUGUUUGCCCUCGUGAUUCUAGGACUAGUACUAAGGACUUAGGAGGGACAAAUGAUCGAUUAAUUCUGAUAUGAGUUUAUUCGAUGUUUGAUUAAGAUAAAAUCGUGAAAUAGAUGAUUUAAGAAGUAGUUAUUUUAGGAUUAUGAUAUAAUUUUUAUUUUAUAUUGAGAAUGAGAUAACAAUUUUGAAAUAACUAAUUGUGAGAUAAUUUGUUCCAAUCAAAUGAGCCUUUAAGGGUUAAGAUAUAUUAGAGAUAAUAAUAUUGUUCUAGCCAAACACCCUAAGAUUUAGGAUAUAUUGGUAUUAAUUUUAAUAUUAUGUAAUUCUUUAUUUAGUACUUAGUAUUUUGACCUAUUGUGCACUUUAUUCAGUAAUGUAUUUGGUUAAUGGUGGGUGGGAAGAAGUAGGAUUGGAGUCAAAAUACUUAAAAUAUUAAUUGCAACUUUGCAAGUAAUCAAAGAUCUUCUAAUUAUGUGCUGAACAUGAAUGUAUGAUAAAAUGAUAAUCACGUGCCAAUUUGCUUUAACUCUUGGAAUUGUUUAUACAUAGUCAUUAUUUUGACAUUAAAAAAGAGUAUUUUUAUAAUCAAUCUUCGAAGAUAGUCUGUGCACGGUUCAAACGAUGAGUAAUAAAUUUUUAUUUUCCUCCAUAUAAAACACAAGGCUUUACGAUAUAAUAAAAUUAGAACUCGCGAUGUAAAAAAUUCAUAAAGAAGUGAACCAAUUAUGCACGAAUUAAAUGUAAACUAAAAUAAUUUAUAUUUUAUUUAAAAUUUUUAUUUUUAUUUCACCAAUCAAUACAAUAAACAAGACCCAAUUAGUAAUUCUGUUUACUUGAGAAAGUGUUGAUUUUUUUCUUCAAUUUUGUCACUUUUUGUCUUUCAACCUCUUAUUCAUGUACCUACGUGGCUUUUUCUCCUUCUCUAAUUCAUGUAGAAUUUAUAAAUAAUUAAUAUCGAGAUGCAAAAAUAAUAUCAAAAUGUUAGAAAUAAAAUGAAUCAGGUAAAAUUUUUUGAAUUUCAUAUUUUCCAUGAAUAAAAUUAUUAAAGUAUAGAUGUAGAAAAUUUGGAACAAUGAUGGGAAAAGAAAAACCAAAGAAAAAGAAUCAAAAAAAAGUAAGAAAGAGAAAUUCAUUAAAAAGAAGAUAGAAAAAGGAAUUUUGGCGAUUUUCUGAAAUGGGAACCAACUUUCCACUUGGCACAAUAUAAAUAGAGUCUCAUACAAGUAGUGUCAGCCACUUCAUAGUUGUGCCUUGUACAUAAUAAAAUUUUUCGUCAUCCCCUGUUCACUUUUAUUUGUCCAUAAAAGAUUUUGCACUCUAUAUAAGAAAUAAUAAAUAAAAUAAAUAACAUGCAUAUUUUAUUAUAAUACACAUAUUAAUUGGUGUAUGUAAAGUCUAAACCAACACAAAUAUACAUUUAAUUUGAUGUGAUAUUAUCCAUUUAUUCAAGCUUAUAUGAUAUUUCUAAAAAUAGCUCACACCAUGAUGUUCAUGUAUAUAAUCAUUGUACGUAUAAUCAGGAACAAGAGAAUAUUUCUUGAUUAAGCAUAAUCAUUUUAGUCAUUUUACUCGAGUUUUUGGCCAAAAACAUUCUUAAAUUAUACGCAUAACUUAAAUUACAUCCUUAAAUUAAUCUUCUUAACAAAAAAUAUCCUUCAAGUAUUUUAAACUUAACAACUUCCAUCCUUUUGUUAAAAUUUGACGAGAAAUUAACAGAAUUAUACAAAAAUAUGUGUAAUUCAUACUACUCUCAACAAAACUCCCUAAAUCACCAAAGCUUAAAAAAAUAUCUUCAUUCCGUGAUACAUCUAAAAUAUUAUUGUGAAUUCUUUUUUACAACAACACUUGGCAUUAUGCAGAUCCUUUUAUCAGCAACUUUGUUUUAAUUUAUUUUUAUUUGAUUUGAUAUUAAAAAUUACCAGUUGAAAUAUUUUUUUCUCAUUGAAUCUGCAAAAAAUGGUAGUGACCUGGGAUAACGAAAUUAUGUGUGAAAAGUUUUACUGAGAGUAGUGUGACCUGCACAUGUUUUUGUGUAAAAUCCAUUAAUUAUUUGACAAAAAAUUAACAAGAGGAUGAAAAUGGUUAAGUUUUAAAUACUUGGGGGAUGUUUUCUAUUAAGAAGGAUAAUUUAAGGAUGUAGUUUAAGUUGAGGGUAUAGUUUAGAGAUGGUAUUGGCCAAAAACUCCAUUUUACUCACAUAACACGUGAAAUCAAUUGCAUUGGCAUUCAUUUUCAUGACAUUCAGAAAAGAGCGAGUAAAAAUUAGUGGCAAGAACUAACCCCACACUCCCACCAUCUUCAGUACUCUAAAUUUUGUGCAUCAAACCAAAUAUACACCCCAACAUUCUACUCUUCACACUAAAGCAAUGCAUACCAAAACUUUUCUUUCUUCAUGCAUCUUACUUGUUCUUUUGUUCUCACUUUCAUCUUUCAAUGUAAGUAACCCUUAUGCCCUCUCUGUUUCAGUUUCUUGAAGUAAUCUUCAUUUGGUUUGGUACAAAAUUUGAUUUGGAUUUGGUUUUAACCAAAAUCAUAAUAGAAAAAAUUGAACCACACUAGUAUAGUACUUACACAUGUUAUUUAACUUAUUUAUUAUUUCAAUCGAAUCAUGAACACCCCUAAAUUAUUGAUUUGUCAUAACAAUUGUAACAUUGUGUACUCAUGGUACGGUGCCAGUGCAGGUUGUUGUGGCUAGAAAUGGAGACAAAUCUGGGAACCCAUUUACGCCAAAAGGUUAUCUGAUUAGAUACUGGAAUAAACAUGUCUCGAAUGACUUACCAAAGCCAUGGUUCCUUCUCAACAAGGCAUCUCCAUUGAAUGCUGCUCAAUAUGCAACUUACUCAAAGCUUGUUGCUGAUCAAAAUGCACUGACCACACAACUUCAAUCCUUUUGCUCUUCAGCAAAUCUCAUGUGCGCACCAGAUUUGUCACCAAGUCUCGAAAAACACACAGGAGAUAUCCACUUUGCCUCUUACGGCAACAAAAACUUCACCAAUUACGGAACCAAAGAAGCUGGAAUCGGAGUGAACUCCUUCAAAAACUAUACUGAGGAAGAAAAUUUCCCUAUGAAUUCUUUCAGGCGUUACGGUAGAGAUUCUCCCCGUGAUAAUCAAUUUGACAACUACGGCCCUGAUGGCAAUACAGCUGUCCAAAGUUUCAACAGCUAUAGCACAAAUACUCCAGGGGGUUCUGGCAAAUUCAAUAAUUACGGCCCAAAUAGCAAUGAUGCCAACAUGGGGUUCAAUUCCUAUGCUGACAAUGGAGCUGGUUCGGUCCAAAAAUUCACAAAUUAUGCCCCAAUUCGGUCUAAUAUCCCUAAUAUACACUUCACUUCCUAUUCCGACCACGGAACGGGUGGGGAACAAGAAUUCAAAUCCUACUCAGACGAUGCAAAUGAAGCUAAUCAAUCUUUCAUAAACUAUGGCAAAGAUGGGAAUGGUGCUAAUAGUAAAUUCAACAGCUAUGGAAACAAAGGCAGUAGUAUAAACAAAUUCAAAAACUAUGGCGUUGAAGGUAAUGGUAUAUCUGAGACUUUUACUAACUACAGAGAACAAUCAAGUUUUGGUAAUGACAGGUUCACUAACUAUGUUAAGGACGCAAAUGGCGGUGAAGCAAAUUUCACCAACUAUGGUCAAUCUACCGAUGAACUUGAUCCUGGUACUGAUGAAUUCACUACCUAUGGCAAAGGAGGUAAUGACCCACAUAUUAAUUUCAAGUCUUACGGAGGUGACAAACUCUUCAAAGGUUAUGUCAAAGACACUGCCACAUUUUCCAAUUACCGAAACAAAACUCCUUCAUUGAUCGGUGGCAAAAAGGUGAAUAACCGGUGGGUUGAGCCCGGAAAGUUUUUCCGGGAGAAGAUGUUGAAGAGUGGUACAAUCAUGCCUAUGCCAGAUAUUAAGGAUAAGAUGCCUAAAAGGUCCUUUUUGCCCCGGGUGAUUGCUGCGAAAUUACCCUUUUCUACCUCAAAAAUUGGUGAGCUGAAGAAAAUUUUCCAUGCCGCCAAUGAUUUUCAGGUGGCAAAGAUGAUCGGCGAUGCAUUGAGUGAGUGUGAAAGAGCACCAAGCGCCGGCGAGACGAAACGGUGUGCUAACUCAGCUGAAGAUAUGAUUGAUUUCGCAAUAUCAGUGUUGGGUCAAAAUGUGGUGGUUCGAACGACUGAGAAUACAAAAGGAUCAAACGGUAAUAUCAUGAUAGGAUCAGUCAAAGGAAUCAACGGUGGAAAAGUCACUAAAUCAGUAUCAUGUCAUCAGACCUUGUACCCUUCCUUAUUGUAUUACUGUCAUUCGGUUCCUAAAGUCCGGGUCUAUGAAGUGGAUAUUUUGGACCCGAAUUCAAAGGCUAAGAUCAAUCACGGCAUUGCCAUUUGCCAUGUGGAUACUUCUUUAUGGGGACCCAAGCAUGGAGCCUUCAAUGCACUCGGGUCAGGACCUGGGAAAAUAGAGGUUUGUCACUGGAUCUUUGAGAAUGACAUGACUUGGGCAAUUGCUGAUUGAGCUCGAUCUAGGUGUGUUUACAAUAUGUGGAAAAUUAAGUUUGAAUGGCUAUUAGGUUAUGUAUUUGUCUAUCUAUUGUUGUCUCUGUAUGUGGGGAAAAGUAAUGUACUCCCUAUGUUCACUUUUAUUUGUCGCACUUUUGUUAAGAAAUAAUAAAUAAAACGCAUAUUUUAUUAAAAUAUUUACAUUAAUUUUUGUAUAGUUUCAAUGAACUUGAGAAAUAAUUUGAAAAAGAAUAAAUAGUUAAUGUUAAGGAUAAUGGAGAAGAAAAAUACAUAUUUUUUUCAUAUACUAAAGAGUACUCUGAGUCUGAGGUUACAAAAUUUUAAUCGCUCUAAGUUUCAAACCUCUAAGAAUGCAAAAGAAUAAUCUAUGCCAGAAGAGAAUUAUGGGCAAACCUUGAAAAUCAAACCAAAAGAGAAAGAUGCAUAAACCAUUAAAAGCUUAAACAAAAAAUUGAUUAGUUGUAUGUUUAUGCCAGAAGACUAGUCUGCCCAUAUAAUUGGGCCAUCUCCACAAGAGAAAGACCUCACGAAAAGGAUAAGAAAUAGAGAUUUCGAAGAUGUGCACCUCAUUAGCAAAGGUUCUUAAAAUCACUUUGACUAUUACUAAGCAAUCAAUCAGGACAACAUUUUCCUGCAUAUCGGUCAUACUCCUCAUGUAAAAAUUGAAAAAAGAAAAGGUUCGAAAAGUCUCUAACAUAUCAAGUAUGGUUUAAAAUUUGUCCUUCUAAUUGUUGGAUCCUAAUUGAUGGAGUACUGUUACAAAGAACCCUAUUACUAAUUUUAUUAUUCAUGCUUUCCCCCAAUAAUUUGUUGGGAGAUAUGGAGAGCGAGAUGCUCUAAAAAAUUUGAUGCUUUUAAGCCUUCUGUAUACAGAACUAAAGCUAACAUUCUUUUUAUCAUUGUGCAAAUUUCCAAGAAUAAAUUUGGCAAAGUUAGCAUCGUAAAGUCUUGGAGAAAUAUAUUAUAUACAUUACAUUCUGAAUGCCGAAAUUCAUCACAGAACCACUACCACAGUUAAAUAGAUAAAACCUCCUAAUAUGUCUGUAAAACUCAACAGUGAUGGUAGUUGCAUUCAAGGCCGUUGUGGUGGAGGUGGUCUGAUUAGAAACUCAUUUGGGAACGUCUUGUUUGCUUACUGCAUCAACUUGGGACCUGGUAUGAGCAGUGGCGGAGGCAGGAAUUCUAUCAAGGGGGUUCAAAUAAAAAAAAUGUUGUUGCCUGGAAUCGAACCCGUGACCCAAAGCUCACAUAGGCUGAAUCCUGACCCCCAUAAACCACUGAGCUACUCCUUUGACAUAUGCUCAGGGGGUUCAAUUUUAAAUAUAUACACGUACACAAAAAAAUUGAUCUUAUAUAUAUAGUGUAAUUUUUUUUCCGAAUCCGACCCCCCUGGACACACUAUAGAUCCGCCCCUGGGUAUGAGCAACAUCGCAAAAAUGGUUGUUCUUCUUUUUGGCCUUAAAUGGUGUCCUAAUAGAGGCUUCUCUAAAGUCUGGGUUGAAACAAACUCCAUGCUGUUAGCCAAAUGUAUUAACAAAGAUUGGGACACGCAGUGAAGGAUUAAUGAUAUGAUUCAAGAUGCCAGAAAAUUAAUCGAAGAGCAUGGUUACCAUAUUAGUCAUUGCUUUAGGGAGGCUAAUAAACCCGCUGACAAGCUUGCCACCUUAAGUCGUGGUAUUAAAGGGCUUCAUCUCUUCAACUCUUUUUCGGUCCUUCCUAAGCAAGUUAGAGGUCUUUACAAUAUGGAUAGAUUGGAUUUCCCAACUUUAGAACUAAACCAAUGAGCCCUGUUAAUAUUAUUUAUGAGCCCCUAAAUUGUAUGUUUUGAGCUAAUCUGGACCCCCCCCCCUCCCCCUUUUUUGGUGACACUUAGUAGAACAGUUUUACAUUGUUACUAUCCCUUUAUCAUGUCAAAGUUUGGGAUGUCAAACUCAAAGUUAUACUUUUGCCCAAAUCAAUGAUCAAAGUUGAUUAUUUUUUUUAAAAAAAAAAAUAGGUUAAAAAUUGUUAAGAAGUCCCACAUCGGUAGAGGGAUGGAAAAUUAAUCUCCUUAUAUGAACUUGGACAAACCUUCCCUCGUGAGCUAGCUUUUGGGGUUGAGUUAGGCCCAUAUGUCAUAUCUUCACAUGGUAUCAGAGUUAGGUUCGUCCCAAUUUGUUGUUCACCGAUGUUGGGCCCUCAUUUAGAAGUGUUCAUGCUCCAGUUGAGGUCUAGGCGUGCGGGGAGUGUUAAGAAGUCACACAUCGGUAUAUGGAUGGGGAAUUGGUCUCCUUAUAUGGACUUGGACAACCUCCCCUCAUGAGCUAGCUUUUGAGGUUGAGUUAGGCCCAGGUGUCAUAUCUUUACAAAAAAAAAUUCCCUCCUUUCAUCUAUUGAAUCUCAAUUCCCUUGAUGUUUAUUUUUGGCUUAAAAACAUUCCUCCUUCAAAUGAUAUUAUGAAAUGACAGAUAUCAUACUUUAAUUAAAUAGGUAGCGAUUACUCUAUUAGUACACAUACGUGACCCCAAUCAGUAAUAACCCAAGUGGCCAUCUUGAUUAAACCAAAACAUCUAGAUAUUAUAGUCGAAAGAGCAAUAUGAUCUGAAUGUUAUGACCUUGAUAAUUGUUAGUUUUAAGUGUCUACUUUUAGUACUAUCCUUUCAAUUAAUCAGGAUGGAUUAACCAGCUUUGAUAAUUGACGUAUUACCUAUACCAAAAAACUAAUAAUAUACCAUUGCUUCAUUAGUGCACAGGAAAAUUUGGAUUUUAAGCAUUUUAAUAUUAUUUUAAAGUGCAUAGUUCAUAAUUGUGAAAUGUCAAAUGUGUUGCACGUUUGUGGCAUUUGUUGUGCAACAUUUGCUUUGUUCCUUGAUGACAUUAUAUGCCUCCAUUAUUCAUAUAUUAAUUGUUGUAGAGUGUGGUCAUUAGUUAUUAGCAACUUUUGUAACCUCUUGUUAUUUAUCCAUUAUUCUAACUAAUUAUUCUUGUAACCUAUGUAACCUUUAGACAAUUCAAUUAUCCUAUUUAUAGUUAUCUCAUAAUCUUCCUAUUCAUUGCAAGGAAGAAUUCAUCACCUAUAAAUAGUGAUGAUUUUACUUUGUUUUGAGGAUAUGAAAUGUACAAGAAAAUAGAGUGAAAAAGAUGAGGAGUACUAUAUUGAUGUUAGUGUAGUGAAAAUGUCACGACCCAAAAAAUGGCGUGAUGACGCUCGUCUAAUCCCACCAAGACAAGUCAACCUCAAAUCCAACAAAAUGAAAGAAAUGUGGAAGUAAAAAAAUAGUAGCAUAAGAACGGAAAACUUUGCCAAUUUCAUAGAGCACCCCCAAAAUCUGGUUGUCACGUGCACAAGUCUCUAAUGUAUAAAACAAAAUUGAAAGAUAAUACAAGUCACAAAGUCUUUGAUUCUCAAAUAGAAUAAAACAUAAUGUAAGGAACAAGAGGGCUCGCCGGGAUGACAAACACACAACUACCUUUCAAUGUAUCCUCAGAAAACCUCAGAGAAAGAUGAAGGAAAAAAGAUCACAUGAGCUCGAGCUCGGAACCUACACAAGUGUAGAAGCAGGGGUGAGUACUAAACAACACGGUACUCAACAAGCAACCUACUAAACAAGGCAAAACUAAGUUAAAAUAUGAGUACUCAUUUCAUCUCAACCAAACCACCUCAACUACAACAUGCAUAGAAAUCAACCCAACAUAAUAGUUUUACAAUGCACUACUCACAUGACUUAACAAUUAUAGUCCAACAAUCACAGUUCAACAACCAACAAUAUCAAGUAUGUCAAUCACAAGUAUCAAGUAGAUCAAUCACAAUUAUCAAGUAGAUCAAUUACAAGUUUCAAGUAGAUCAAUCUGAAGUAUCAAGUUCAUCAAAUCACAAUUGUCAAAUACGUGUCAUAACCCUUUCCCAUCGACACAAUAUCACUAGCCGGAAUCAUUUUCCAUCGGCUUUAUAUAGUAUCACAUGCCGGAAUCAUUUUUCUUCGGCACAAUAUCACUAGCCGGAACCAUUUACCUUCGGCUUUAUAUAAUAUCACUUACCGAAAUCAUUUUUCUUCGACACAAUAUCACUAGACAGAACCAUUUCCUUUCGGCUUAAUCAUCACAUGUCUCAUCACGAUGCACAUAAAUCAAUGCAAAUAAGUAAUUUCACGCCAUAAGAAAGAGACAAUAACUCAAGCAAGUCAAGUCCACAAUAAUGUCAUCAAAGCAUUUCAUCAAUCAACAAAUUAGGGUGAUCCACAACAAGGUAAUACACAAAGCACAACUAUCAACACAUUGUCUUUUUCAUUAAUUCCAUUUUUUAUUCAUUAAGAUCGAUCAAGUGGGAUAAUCGAACCCAUCAGCUCAUUCUCAUUAUUCUCCAACACUGGUGAUGGCAAAUGGGCGGGUUGGGUCAAAUUUGGGUGGGUUGAAAUGGGUCAACAUAAAAUGGAUAAUAAUUCAACCUGCCCAUAUUUGAUAUGGGUAAAAAUGGAUUGGGUAACAAAUGGGUUGGGUAAAAUACUAGUUUACCCAUAUUUAUCCAUAUUUUCAUGAGCAAAUAGUACUUUACUUGAGAAUUCAACAUGGAGAAAACAUUUUAGUCUUUUUUAGAUGAAAAUUGUUGAAAACGCUUCAUUUAGUUUUAUUGUAUCAUAAAAGUAAAUAAAAAAACCCUAUAACUUUUCAAUAUAAAAUAAAUUUAUGUAAGUACAACGGGAAAAUAUUUUUAAUUUCAAAGUAAAUGAAUAUUUGCAUUUUAGAACUAAAACAUGAUUAAUGCACUUUAAGCAAUGUCAAUACUAAUACAUGAUUUGCUUAUUUUACACUAUUAUUUAUUAUUCAAUAUAAAAUUAAAUAAAUAAAAAAUAUAAUUAUAAUUAACAAAAGAAAUGUACAUUUAAAUAUAUAUAUUUUUGGAGGGCCAAAGACUUCACCUUUUCAAUUAUAGAGAAAAAUAAUUAGUUCUAUACAAGAACAUAAAAAGGAAGAGAAGUUACAAUAUUUUUAGUGAUAUCAUGAAUUUUGAGUGAAUAAAAGUUAGAAGCAUAACCCAUUUGGCUAAUCCAUAUUUUACCAUUAAUUUAAUGGGUUGAUACCCAUAUUUUACCCAUGUAAAAAGUCACUCACCCAAUCCAUCAAAUUUUGGACGGGUUAUCAAAAUAUGGGCUCAUUUUGUCGGUACUAUCCAACACACACAACGAAGGGAAAUACAAGAUUCUACAAAGCUUACAGGUUUUAGAAGCUCACUUCUUUCUAUUAAAUCAAAAGUCAAUCUGAGACUUCAAUUUUUCCUUUUCGAACAAUGUCCAAAGCCACACAAUCUAAUCCGGCAAGUAGUCACAAUAAGAUUUCAGAAAUAACAACACAUAUAUCAUACACUUUUAAAAAUUGGUUCUAAAAAUGAGAUUUGAAAUAAAAAAUCUUUACUUGAAAAUGUUAUCCAAGGCAUUUGUAACACAUUGGUGAAAACCAUAUUUUUAAACGGAAAAUGACCUAAAAUACCCUUAAACUAUGACUUUUGGUACAAUAAUACCCUCCGUUAAACUUUCAGGCCAAAAAUAUCCCUGACGUCAACCUUUCGGCUCUAAAUUACCCUUAGUUUAAACGGUUCUAUCUGAAAAUAUAAUUACAAAAUUCAUUUAUUAUGUGGCACAAUACUAUUGGUUGAUUUUAAAAUAAACUAAUUAAUUAAAUUUCCAACCCACAACCCGAAUCUACUUAAUAAGGUUGAUGUCAGGGCAUUUUUGGCCUGAAAGGUUAACGAAGGGUAUUAUUGUACCAAAAUUCAUAGUUCAAGGGUAUUUUAGGCCCUUUUCCAUUAUUUUAAAAAAAGAGUCACAAUCAUUACACAAUCAUCAUUUUAUCAAGUUCCUUGGGUUCUUGAAGAAAUCUCAAAUUAUCAUUCCAAAAACAUUAAUUUGAAUGCUUAAAUUCAUUAAUAACAAUGGGUAAAUGAAGAUUUAAGGCUAGGAAUUGUUACCCAGCUAUUUGUUCUCAAAAACCGUGUUCAAAUCGCCACACAAAAGCACCCCAAACUCUAAAAAUGGUGAAAUAGGGUCAAAACCCCGAUUUUGAAAAAAUAAAAUCCCAGGUAUAAAAUGCUCAUUGUGAUUACGAUGAUCAAAAGCUCGUGAUCGCGUUGAGUUAAAAAGGUCAACUCACUUACGCUGACAAUCGCGAUUGCGACUGAGCUUUAAUUGUAAUGCACAUAGAAAAUGCUCUAUGCGAUUGCAAGAGAAGACCAAGCGAUCGCGAUGAACAAAAUACAAUGCACCUGACAACAAAAACCUGCAAUUUAUACAAGUCACAAAAGUUUUCAAAAUGAACUUCGAGAUUCGUUCAGAAUCUCGUUUUGCAACACCCCGAAAAAUGAUAGGUUAAACUAGAGCCUAAAUGUAAGGUUAAAAGUUGUAAAAUGACUACCCAAAUUUUAAUAAAUCAUUUAAGGUUGAAAUAAGGUUAUUUGAGUCAAGACCAAGGGACACGUGCCAAGGCGAAGGGGCCAAGCCAAGGCUGCCCCUAGCUAGGAGCACACUGCCCCACCUUCACGAGAGGGACCACAUAUCGUGGUCCACUCCACGACUCGUGGAGGUGGUUGUGAAGUUCCCUUGGCCUUGGAAAAGUGGCCACCCAAAAACUUAGCCACUACCUCAACUUCACGGAAGGGACCACGACUUGUGGUCUUGACCACGACUCGUGGAGCCCUUCGUGAAAGAGACUUAGGCAUGGGGGCAUGAGGUAGGCUAGAUAUUGCCUCUCCCCUCAUGAGCAGGACCACGAGUUGUGGUCCACUUCAUGGCUCGUGAAGGGGCUCGUAAGGAUGCCUUGGACAAAUGAGCCUUGUGCUCCAAAAACAUGGCCAUUGUCUCACUUUCACGGGCAGGACCAUGGGUCAUGGUCCACACCACGGCUCGUGAAAGUGGCCCGUGGCCCCUGACGAAGUGAAUUAAAUGAGGGUUAGUUGGGUCAUUUCCCUUUUAGUCCAAUUAAAGUAGGGUUGUUUUGGGUAUUUUUAGGGGAAGUAUAUAAGUUGUUUUUAAGUCAAAUUUAACAAGACUAAGUCAUUGUUCACAAACACCUAAUUGAAAUAAAAAAAAAACUUCCUCCUUUCUCAAUAUUUUUCUCUCUAGACACAAAGAAGAAGAAUAAAUGAGCCAUUGAAGCUAGGGUUUGUGGAUUUUUAGGGUUCUUCCCCAAAUUUCUUGGAGUUUCUUAGUCAAUGUAUGGAUACUUUUCAUCAUUGGGUAUCUAUCACCCAAAGAGCCCCUUCAAAAUAUGCUUUCAAGAUUUCACAUCCCCCAAACAUAGGGUUUUCAAUCAAUUAUCAUGGGUCUUCUUCCAAAACAUUUUCCAUUGUUUAAUUGUGGUUUAUUAUGGUUGAUUAUGAUGAUUUAUGAUUGGAAUGUUGGAUUAUGAUGAAAAUCUCUCUUGGACCCAUGAUUUCCCCUUCUUCCUAAAUUGUAAACUAUGGUAUGACUUGAUAGAUGAUGGGAGCUUGACAAUUGAUUAUGUUUACAUUGAUUAAGUUGUUGAAUUAUGAUAUCCCUAUAUCUAAUAUGGCAAUUCUAUAAGUUAGGGUUGAUAUUGACUCAUAGCCUUGAAGGGUAACUUGUUAGGGUUUAUACAUGUUUAUGAGGAUUGUAUAUGAACUUGUGAUUCACUUAGUUAGUGAUGAUCCUCUGACUAUUAUGUAAUUGUGGUAUUGAUGCAAGAUCCUUCUUCCCUAUACCCUUACACUUGAUUAUGCUUGAAAUAUGUAUGUAUGUUUAUGAUAAGCUUGUUGUGUUGAUUGAAAGACCAUUCUUAUGAACACACUAUGAAUGUGAUGUGAAAGGUUUACUCACAUGUUGAUGAUUCUAAGGUUGAAAGGACAUCCUCACCUAAUGAAUCUAUGAGCUAUUAUGAUGUAAGUUGGUUUGAGUGCCUAGUGCAUUCUCUCAUGAACAUGAAUUUAAGUAAAAACUUAAUAUGACUAAAGGGAAUUAGGCUUAGCACCGAGUGGAUAUGAAAAUGAGAUGGAAGCUUUUACAUUAGAAAGUCCGAUUUCCCAAUGUAAGUUAUCUCAUAAGAUGGAAACCUUUUACAUUACAAAGUCCGAGUUUCUAGUAGCAAUCUUCUUAUCAUAUAACUAUGUGCCCACAUAGGUCUUUAGCUAGUGGAUCAACCUAAAAGCUAUUAUGUAAGUUCUACCCUAGGCAAGUAGGACAUCUUUUUUCUGUGUGAAGUAAAACACCGGAUUCCAUGUAGCUCACAUGGUCUAUGUCGGUUAAAGUAUUUUCCCUAUAUGAUACGAAUAUGAACUAUGAUAAGAACAUGAAUACUGCUGCUGAAGAGGUCUACUCAGUCGUCUGUCGGGACCUGCAUGAAAGGCAAUAGACUAUGAGUAGAUAUCAUAAUAUACUGGAAUAAUUCGAUAAAUAAAUCAAGGAUAAGAUAAUUGUACUGACCUGCUCCUAAAUCUAAACUUAUCAAAAAUAAUAAAACAACAACCUAACCAAGCCCCCAUAAGCUCGGUAGGUACAAACAACAGACAAGACCAUCUACUCAGGGCCCUAUAAGCCUGAAAGGUGCCAAUUAGUCUAUAUACCCCUAUCAGUAGUCCCCUAGCCCUGUAGGCAGUCACAUAGCCCUCUUAGGCAUUAAUAUANNNNNNNNAGCCUAUAUACCCCUAUCGGUAGUCCCCUAGCCCCGUAGGCAGUCACAUAGCCCUCUUAGGUAAUAGUACAGCUGUGUAGGCAGCACAUAGCUCUCUUAGGCAUCAAUAUAGCUUAUAGACAGCUCAUAGCCCUCUUAGGUAACAACAUAGCCAUGUAGAAAGCACAUAGCCUUCUUAGGCGUCAAUAUAGCCUUGUAGGCAACUCAUAGCCCUUCUAGGUAUCAAUAUAGCCUUGUAGGCAACUCAUAGCCCUUUUAGGCAUCCAUUUAUUUCCAUAGGCAGAACAUAGCCCUUCUAGGCAUAGAUCACAUUCCUGCAGCUAACCACAAUUAGCCCAAAGGGAAACAAUAACAAUCCAAUCGCUAAAAGUGAGCCAUAUAGUUAUAAGUAACCUGUACAAAUAGCCUCUAAGUCAUGUCCAGCAUAGGGACGCUACUAACUGAAUAAGAAUCCCGACAUGAGAGGAUUAUAUGAACUCGAGCAGCCAACAAUCAACAAUAACAACUACAAGUAUAUCACGAAUAACAACCCAAUUACAUUGCUCCUAAGAUUUAAGGAAACAUGUCAUAAGUAGGGAUUAGCCUUAACAUACCUUUUUUUGCUGAAUUCACGUGGCCUAACGACUUUUACUCAUAACCCCCUCGAUACUACAACAAGGCAGGACCAUAAUCAACACACAAAAAUAGAAAAUACCAUGAUAAUUCGAUAAAAGGUGUGUAUUUCCGUCGCAAAUUGCUAUUUGCUAUUUACAAAAGCUAGAGUCGAUGAAAGAAGAGUCUUACCUCGAUCUUAAAUUCGUAAUACGCCUCAAAACCUUCAAAUAUGUCCAAACCCUUGCUGUCCCAACACUAAAGGGUGAUAUGCUACAAAAUCGAUAAAACAAAUUAUACCACGAUGAUGAGCCCAACACGUAGAACAACUUUCGUCAAGGACUUAAGUCUAGAAAAUCUAUACUUUAGUUUAUCCUAGAAUGGGUUUCUCUAAUUUUUCAAGUUCUUAGCUAAAAAAUGAAGAAAAGGUCGAAGAAGAAGAUGUAUAUAAAGUUCCACCAACCUAAGGCCCUACCUCAUGUGCCUGCUUGCGCAGUCCUACAAAAAUGCGAAUACCUCUUUAUUCUGAAGUUGUAUGAGCAAAAUAUUUGAUAUGUUGACAACUAGACUCGUAGACCUUCGAUUUCAUAGGUCGUAGACCUCAUAACUCUUUAUAUAUUGGGAGAAAACCUCCGAGAUAUUUGACCCAAAUUUCAGAGAAAUCUUUUAAAAGGAACUUACAGUAACUUUCGCCAACUUUCAUUUUGCCACUUACCUAACUUCAAAACUUGAGAUACAACCCUUGAACACUUAAAAUAUGACAUACCACAUCAUUCUUAAUUUAUUACCCACUCUCCUAGUCUUUUCGUGAAGAUACGAGUAAUUUCAUACCUUUCAAAAAGGCAGGGUGUUAGAGUUACGAUGGGUUUGUGGUAUAUUGUGAUGCUUCUCGAGUGGGUUUGGGAUGUGUCCUUAUGAAACAUGGUAAAUUAAUUGCCUAUGCUUCAAGGCAACUCAAGAUACAUGAAAAAAUUUAUCAAACUCAUGAUAUCAAAUUAGUAGCGGUGGUAUUUGCCUUGAAAAUAUGGAGGCACUACCUAUAUGGGGUCCAUAUAGAUGUUUUCACCAAUCAUAAGAGUCUUCAAUAUGUGUUUACCCAAAAGGACUAGAAUCUCCGACAAAGAAGGUGGUUAGAGCUUUUAAAGGAUUAUGACAUGAGUGUUCUUUACCACCCCGUCAAAGCCAAUGUAGUUGCGGAUGCCCUAAGUCGAAUGUCCAUGGGUAGUGUGGCUCAUGUAGUAUAUGAGAAGAAGGAAUUGGUUCAUGAUGUGCAUAGGUUGGCCCGGUUAGGUGUCCAACUAGUGGAUUCCACCAAGGGUGGUGUCAUGGUCCAUUAUAGUUCCGAAUCAUCUUUUGUUAUAGAUGUAAAGUCUAAGCAACAUUUUUAUCCUAUCUUGAUGGAGUUGAAAAAUUUGGUACUCCACAAGUCUGUUGAGGCUUUCUCCCAAGGGGGAGAUGGGGUGUUUAGGUACCAAGGUAGAUUAUGUGUUCCGGAUGUUAAUGGAUUAAGAGAGCAAAUUUUAGAAGAGGCUCAUGGUUCGCGGUAUUCAUUUAUCCGGGAGCCACCAAGAUGUACCAUGACCUACGCAAAGUCUAUUAAUGGAAUGGUAUGAAGAAGGAUAUAGAGGAUUUUGUAGCCAAAUGUCCGAAUUGCCAAUAAGUUAAGGCCGAGCAUCAAAGGCCCAGAGAGUUGUCCCAAAAUAUAGAUAUCCCCACUUGAAAGUGGGAGGAUGUGAAUAUGUAUUUUAUUGUGGGUUUGCCUCGUACUCGAAGGCAACAUGAUUCUAUUUGGGUAAUUGUUGAUAGAAUGACAAAGUUCACCCACUUUAUUCCCGUCAAGACUUCAUUUUUGGCGGAGGACUAUGCCAAGUUGUACAUCAAUUAGAUAGUGAAGUUGCAUGGGGUUCCCUUAUCUAUCAUUUCGGAUUGGGGGUACUCAAUUUACUUCACACUUUUGGAAGGCAUUCCAAAAAGGGAUUGGUACUAAUGUUAAGCUUAGUACCGCUUUCCACCCUUAAACGGAUGGUCAAGCGGAACACACCAUUAAAACCUUAGAGGACAUGUUGAUGGCAUGUGUGAUAGAUUUCAAGGGUAGAUGGAUGACCAUCUCCCAUUGAUUGAGUUUGCCUACAACAAUAGUUACUACUCAAGCAUUGUCAUGGCUCCGUUUGAAGCCCUAUAUGGUAGGAGUUGUAGAUCUCCGGUUGGUUGGUUUUGAAGUAGGUGAAAAUGCUCUAAUUGGUCCCGAAUUAGUUUAUGAGGCCAUUGAAAAAGUUCGACUUAUUAGAGAAAGGUUGAAAACGGCCCAAAGUCGGCAAAAGUCUUAUGCCGACAAUAGAAAAAGGGAUCUAGAAUUUGAGGUUGGUGAUUGGGUCUAUUUGAAAAUCUCACCUAUGAAAGGUGUGAUGAGGUUUGACAAGAAUGGGAAACCUAGUCCCCGGUAUAUAGGCCUUUAUCAAGUUUUGAAGCGUAUUGGGAAAGUUGCCUAUGAGUUAGACUUGUAGAAUGAGUUCGCUCCGGUUCACCUGGUAUUUCAUGUGUCUAUGCUUAAGAAGUAUAUUGGUGAUCCGGUAUCCAUCAUUCUUUUAGAAGGUUUGGGAGUUGAUAAGAGUUUUUCAUGUGAAGAGAUUUCGGUAGAGAUCUUAGACCGGCAAGUCAAGAGAUUAAGAAAUAAAGAAGUAGCUUCCAUUAAGGUUUAUGGAGAAAUCACUUAGUUGAGGGUGGUAUAUGGGAGGCCGAGGCCGAUAUAAAGUCCCGUUAUCCUUAUCUUUUUCCUUUUACUCUUAUCCAAACUUGAGGUAAGUAGUUUUCUUGAGUUGGUGUUUUUGGAAGUCAUAUGUGCUAUAAUUGUUCUUUAUGAUUUCCUUAUGAUAUAAAUGUUCUUGUGAGAAUUCAUAUUUAGCAUAAAUUGAGUUUCAUGAUUUAUAUGUUCCUCAUGUUGAUUUGCAUUUUAGUAUGAUGAUUGCAUAUUUAACUUCAUGAGAUGAUAUGAUGAACAUGCUUAGUUAUGCUUUUGAUGAAAUGGCAUAUUGGCUCCAUAUUGUUGUGUUGAGCUUGCUUUGAGUUGGAGAAGGUAGUUCCUCCUAUGAUUAUGUGAAAUGAUGAGUUUUGUGCAUAAUGGAUUGUGGAUGUAGUUCCUACUUCUUUGUGAUUGCAUUGAUUAUGUCUUGAAAUGGAGUUGAUGUUUCCUCCUACUAAUUGUGCCUUCUGUUAUGUUACAUGCAUGAUGGGCUGCUAGUCGUGAGUCUUUAUUUCUGUAAGGUGUCUAAAUCAUCAUUCAAGGACGAAUGUUCCCAAGGGGGAGAUAAUGUAACACCCUGGAAAAUGAUAUGUUAAACUAGAGCCUAAACGUAAGGUUAAAAGUCGUAAAAUGACUCCCUGAAUUUUAAAAAGUCAUUUAAGGUUGAAAUAAGGUUAUUUGAGUCAAGAGCAAGGGACAAGUGCCAAAGCGAAUGGGCCAAGCCAAGGUCAAAGGCCAAGGCUUCCUAUAGCUAGGAGCACACUGCCCCACCUUCACGAGAGGGACCAUGGAUCGUGGACCACUCCACGACUCGUGGAGGUGGUCGUGAAGUUCCCUUGGCCUUGGAAAAGUGGCAACCCAAAACCUUAGCUACUGCCUCAACUUCAUGGAAGGGACCACGACUCAUGGUCUUGACCACGGCUCGUAGAGCCCUUCAUGAAUGAUACUUGGGCAUGGGGGCAUGAGGUAGCCUAGCUACUGCAUCACCCCUCACAAGCAGGACCACAGGUCGUGGUCCACUUCAUGGCUCGUGAGGAUGCCUUGGAGAAAUGAGUCUUGUGCUCCAAAAACAUGGCCACUGCCUCACCUUCACGGGCAGGACCACGAGUCGUGGUCCACACCACGGCUCGUGAAGAUGGCCCGUAGUACCCGACGAGGUGAGUUAAAUGAGGGUUAGUUGGGUCAUUUCCCUUUUAGUCCAAUUAAAGUGGGGUUGUUUUGGGUAUUUUUAGGGGAAGUAUAUAAGUUGUUUUUAAGUCAAAUUUCACAAGACUAAGUCAUUAUUCACAAACACCUAAUUGAAAUCAAAUAAGCUUCCUCUUCUCUCAAUAUUUCUCUCUCUAGACACAAAAAAGAAUAAAUGAGCCAUUGAAGCUACGGUUUGUGGAUUUUCAAGUUUUUUCCCCAAAUUUCUUGGAGUUUCUUAGUAAAUGUAUGGAUGUUUUUCAUCUUUGGGUAGCUAUCACCCAAAGAGCCCCUUCAAACUAUGUUUUCAAGAUUUCAAAUCUCCCUUUUCAUAUUUUGGAAAAGGCAAAAUGAUUUAUCGUCAUAGCCAAAGUUCUUAUUUUCUUAUUUCAAAUGAAAAAUUUCUUUAUUGCGAAAAUUUAUUUUUACUUGCUUUAUAUUUGCUAUCUAACAGUAUCUGUCUAUGAUUUCAGUGAAAAUAUUUUCAAAUCUGUCAAUAUCAUGUCAUGUUACAAGCUGAAUGAACAAAAUGGGGUAGAUGCAGAUAAAUUUGAGGACUACAACGAGAAGGUCAUGUUACCCAAACACCUGGUUGAGGAGUUCAGACAGUUCGAAAGUCACGAUAAGCCAUAUUCAGAAGAGAUCAGAAUAGGGAAUCAGAAAAAUGAUGAACGCAUUAAAGAAAUCAAAAUUGGUGCCUAUUUGACAAAAACACAGGAAAGAGAACUCAUCAGUUUGCUUGGAGAAUACAUCAAUGCAUUUGUUUAAUGACAUCGUAUGGUUGAGCAUGAAUAUUGGAUCUCACAAGUCAUCGAUCUACUUAAAUAUUGUCAAAAGAUAACAUGUUUGAAGACUCGAUUUCUAUCUUUUCUUUGUAACUGCCUUUAUGUGUUUGUAAUCCUUUAUGCUUAGAAUUUAUCCCUUUGUCAUUAACUACGUCUGACCUGAAUUCUCAAGAAUGAGAUACGUAGGCGGCCUAUGUCGGCCUCGGUCACCCGUUUAUCCCUUUUUAAUGUUUUCUUUUGUACUUGAACUACGUUCGACCUAAAUUCUCGAAAAUGAGAUACGUAGGCAGCUUGUGUUGGCCUCAGUCGUUUACUUAUUAAAAUUUCUUAUUAACUCCCGAGAGGGAGAACUACGUUUGACCUGAUUCCUGCAUCAACGAGAUACGUAGGCGCCACGACGGCUCGGUCAUAUCUCACAUGAGAUUUCUAUCUUUCUUUACAAUAGAAAUUGGGACAAUAUUUUUAGAGGGACUCAAAAAUUCAAAAGGGGAAGAUAUUUUCUCCAACAAGUCAAGAUUGAAGAUACAUUGCGAGUUGCCACUGGAACAAAAUUUUUGAGAGGGUCUAAAAAAUUCUACAAGUCAUAUGUCAACAGUUCGAGAUACCCCAAGACAACUAACUGGGACAGAAAUUCUUGAGGAUGGCCUCAAAAAUUCCUUUAAGCAUAACGAGAAGUUUGUAGAAGUUUAAAGUUAACUUCAAAUGAUCUCUGGCAUCGUUAAAGUUCAUAGUCAACUGUAGCAAUCUUCGACACUUUUGAAUUUCAGAAUCAACUACAAAAGUUCUUGAUUAUAGUAGAUUUCGGGCGGACCAUGUUAGAAAUUUCCUAAGCUAGGAUUUUUGAAUUCUCUAGAACAAGCUAUCGAACACACCAAAGUUUCUAACCAAGGACGUUCAUUUAAACUUGACGUGACAUGACACUUGGCAGUGACAUUUUUCAAUUACAACUUUUUGAAAACCUUUUUCUUAAAGAUUUUAUCUAUAUGUUUCAAAUAUUUUUGUAUAAAAAGUUUUGUCUCGUCUAUCAAGAAACAAGAGAUCAAAGCGAUCAACUGAAGAUAGCAAGACAAAGAGCAAGCGAUUGAAGAAGUCAACACAAAUUAGUUUGUUCUAAACAUAUAUAAGCAUCUUCGAUGACACGAGAUUACACUUUUCAGCAUUAAGAACGUUUGAAGACUAUUCACAAAUCUCGUUGAUAUUAGACGCGGUAAUGUGAACUACCCAGAGGGAUAUCGUCUUUACCACCCGGAUGGACAUUCCUAGAGUAUUAUCAAAUAAGAUAAUACCAUCACCCAGAGGGACAUCAUAGUUAUUUUAUCAAUGGAAUAUUAUCAUCCUACCGACGGACCUUCAUCAACAUUAUCCUACCAAUGGAUCAACAUCAUCCUACCGAUGGAUAUUCUUUAUCAUUAUCCUACCAAUGGAUAAGCAUUAUCCUACCAAUGGAGUUUCAUUGUCAUUAUCAUACCAAUGGAUGAGCAUUAUCAUACCAAUGGAUGAUCAUUAUCCUACCAAUGGAUCAUCAUCAUUAUCCUACCAAUGAAUCAACAUCAUUAUCCUACCAAUGGAUCAACAUUGUCCUACCGACGGAUUUUCAUCAUCAUCAUCAUCCUCCCGACGGAUCUUUAUUAUCAUCGUCCUACCAAUGAAUCUUCAUCAAUAUUAUCCUAUCAGUGGAUCAUUGUUAAUCAUCAUAUCGAUGGAGUAGCAUCAUUAUCAUCAUCCUAUCAAUGGAGAUUCAUCAUCCUAUCGAUGGAGCAUCAACAUUAUCAUCUUAUCGAUGGAGCAUCAACAUCAUCAUCUUAUCGAUGGAGCAACAUCAUCAUCUUAUCGAUGCAACAACAUCAUCCUUUCAUCAUCGUCAUCCUAUCAUGUAGCAGUUUUAUCCUAUCAAUGGAUCGGCAUCAUCCUAUCAAUGGAUCGGCAUCAUCAUCAAGAGAGUCAUCAACAUAUUACAUCAGUCUAUAUUUUAUUAUUUCAAUAUCAAAGGAAGAGUACAUUUGAAGAAUUAUAUUGCAAAUAUGAGAUAUAAGUUUUAUUGGCCUAACUUCAAGAUGAAAGAAUUGACGUUAAAUGUUCAACGGGAGCGACUAAGUGUCAACAUAGUAGAAGACGCUAUCUCUCUAUUUGAAUUACAAUUUUAUACUAAUGAAUUUUAUCUCAAUCUUUGUCAAGAGCAUCCGAGAGGAUGAAUUCUCAAACAAACCACAGGGGCGGAUGACAUCAAAAGGGAUGCAACACAAUGUGAAACUUUUUCUUAGCAGCGAACUGGGACAUAGUCUGAAGAGGAGUAUUAAAAUCUUAAGACGCGAGCUGAGGAGUGACUUCCAGCACAAUCAAAACACACCCCUAUCAGAAGGCAUGUGGGUUUUUCUUUGGGUUUAUCGGUUUCAGUUUCGCAUCUGAAAAACUUUUGUUUUCAUCGAAAGUAAAUUUCCAAUUCGAGUGGCAAUACACAAGAGCUUUGGAAAUUAUGUCCGUGUAAGUUCUUAAUUAUGGGUGUAAAGUGCACCGCAUUCAUGACUCAGAGGUUGCAAGCCUCUUUUUCAUAUUCGACUUAUUUUGUCACUCUUCCCAACCGAAGGUUAUCUUAGCAUAAUAGAUUUUCUUUUCAACCGAUCGAAUCGAACUACAAGCAGCCUAAUUCCCUAAGUUUAGAGAUAUGUAGGCGGGAUCAGUCUCGAAAACUCGGUUGUAUUCCAACAUUCUCUCUUAAAACCUAUUCUCGAGCAUUCCGGUGUCUUCAUAAUUCAAUAUCGGGAUGACAUUGAAUUCUUUCAAAAUCGUGCGUCAAAUCAAGCGUAUCGAACUACAAAUGGCCUGAAUUCUCAUAUAGCUUGAGAUAUGUAGAAAAUCCAUUUCCGAGGUUCGGUCAUAAUUCCUAAAGUCCGUACCAAAAACUCUUUUCUAAAGGAUGAAGAUGUGGUCGGUCAAAAUUGGAUUUGUCAAAUUCAUUUUCUCGAAUUUCUUUCAUCAAUCCAAGUAAAAUGAGGGACAGUUGUUGACACCCAAUUUUGACCCUCCACAAUAUAAAUUGGUUUUGUCAAUUUCAUUUACCUUAGAUUUCUUUAAUCAAUCCAAGUCAAACGAGGGACAGUUGUUGACACCCAAUUUUGGACCUCUACAAUAUAUAUUAAUCAUUGAGUUUCUUAAACUCCAAACGAUUCGAAAUAAUUGACUUUAUAAAAUUCAAAAUAUUUUUUCAAGUUAUUUUUUUUAUUAAUUUUAUCAUUUUUAUAAUUUUUAAAUAAUAUAUAUGUUUUACAUAAUUAUGUAUGUAAUUAGUAUAUUUUAUCAAUAUUUGAAAAUCUUCUCAAAAAAGAUUUCACAUUUUAAGUCAAAUGUUCUUUAAUUUAGUUUAAUUUCAAUUAUGAUUUCAAUUAGUUUCUAUUUUAAAUUAAUUACUUUAUAAUCGAGUUUAUUAUUUUAUUUCGUUAAAAUUAAGAAGCUCGUUAGUUGAUUAUAUUAGUUCGUCCUAUUUAAAUUUAAGCCAAAUUCACAAGUUAAACCCAUUCCAGCAAAUACAUACAGCAUACCAAAACGGCCCAUUCUCCAUACAUAAACCCAUUUCAAUACCCACACCAACAAUACAACGCAAUACCCAACCGACCCCAUGCUCCUCCUUCACCAGAAACGCUGCAACCCAGCAAAAACUUGCUGAAGUCCAGCGAUUUCAGCAUCCUAGACGCGAACCCGACCCAAUUGACGUGUACCUCUCUCUCUCCCUUAUCCUUUACUGUACCAAGAACGUCCAAGAAAUAGUCCAGGUGUCUCAAUCCUCUCCCUCGUUCGUACUCCUCUCAGAAAUCAAGUGGUUCUCCUCAUUCUUCCGUUGGAAUUUAUUGAGAAUGAGAGUAUAUCCGUUUGGAAUCAAGCAUAUUCUUGAUCCUUUGAAAGGAAUUCAAAUUCGAAUUUUGAAAUUUCCAUUUUGUUCCCGCUUCUCACCUUAAACCAACCUCAAUCUUCUUCUAUUUAAAGGGGCAUCCUCUUCAUUAUUGAAGGGGGAGAUAGCUUACAAAAAGCUGGAUAAGAGUCGGCAUUAGAGAGGAAAACAAAGCAAAAUUACUAGUCAUAUACAAUUAUAUAUGAAUACUUAGGCAAUAGGUUUCGAAAUAGGCUGAAAAAUCCAGAUUUUACCUACUCCGUUUUCUGGUUAGCUUCUGCUUCCUUCAUCGGAUUUCUCAGGGUUUUGUUUCGGUGGCAGAAGCUCGUGGUUUCUGCUUGUUCUUGCCUCAGCUCGCUGCCCUCAAAAAGGUAAAAAAAAAAUUCCAAUCUCGAUUUACUUUAGUUUAACUUAUUGUGAAUACUUCUGUUGUACUCAUUCCUAUUAUGAAUUCCAAGUACCUCGAUUUGUACCGUCUCUUAUGUUAUUAUGAUCUCAUCUUAAUACUCAUAUACUUUAAGAUUUCAUUGGUUGUUUAGAAAAAUGUUCAUGUCUCUUGGAAUGUGCCUAGAUAUGAGCUAAAUAUCAGUAUUACUCUCUUUAAGCGUUAUAAUCAUGUUCAUUAUGUGACGAUCUAAAUCGGUUUGAUGACUUGCUUUUCCGUGAUUAAUGUCUCGAAGGCUCCUCAUACUUGUAGUUCUCUAUUCGUCUGUUGUCUCUUUUUCUCUCCAGACCUUGGAUUUUGUUUAUUUCUACUUCAUUUGCUCUUUCAAAGUUGCUGUCCUUUUUCAUCUUAUGAUUGUUUUGGUGAUUCUGUAUUAGUUAAUGUUUCAGUAAAAAGAAAAAGAGAUAUAAAUUGCCGCUUGCUUCCUAAUUGUUUUGACUCUUUGCUACGAGUAGUUGCGAUUUAAGUAAUGUUAGCUAUCUCAUUGGCAUGAUUUCUAGAUCUCUUGUGUCAUGUAUUUGGUUCAUUCACUGUGAUUUGAAUAGGCAUUAGUGAGAUACAAUGUGAGGUUUGACUUUGAUUUCCUUGAGGCAGUAGCUUUCUUGUCAAAGUUAAUCACUUUUUCCUCUAAUUACUUAUAUAGUAUUUUUAGCUAGGUCUUUGCCAAUCAACUACCCUUUUGUAUGUGUUCUUCUAUUGAGCUUAUCUUUGUUCAAUUUGGUAGUAUGUAUUGAGUUUUGGCUUUAUUUUUUAUCUGCUAUUUGUGUGGUCAUUUUCUAAUUUGAGUUUCUGUCUAAAGUCUAGUAAAUUGUUAAUUGCUUUCUCUCAUUUGUGUGUAUCUUAGAUUUUUUCUUCUAAGUUAUGUUUUCUUUGUUAUUAUUUAAGAUUGGUUUUUCCUUUGCUAACUUGGUUUUGUCUUUCUUUUGCUUGCUAUGAAAUCUGUCCAAGUCCUUGUGGACUCUCUCUUUGCAUAUCCUUGAGUCGUUUUGAGUCAGCCUUUGGUGUUCGAGGGUGAAAGGGAAGCUAAUGCAAGCCUCCAAAAGCUCAAAAAAGAGCUGUAUAUACUGUUGUAUACAGCAGUAUACACUGCUAUACAACAAUUGUACACAUGAUAUACAGGGCAGAAAAAAUUAAAUGCAGGUUGCAGGGGUCAAAAUGGAUUGUAUACACUCGGUCUACAGUCCGAUAUACACGAAAAUGCAUCAAAAUAUGGUCUAUAUACAUCGAUAUACACUUUUCGUAUACACAGGUCUUUGGGGUAAAAAUGGGCUUAAAGUCCAAUAGAUUGGGCCCAAAUUUGGGCAUUCUCUUAUUAUUACCAUUAUUUAUUUGUUCGUAUUAACUCUCUAACCCUUUUUAUGUGAUUUGUUAAUUAACUUAAUUAAACCCCCAAAAGAUGAACCAUAUUCUUUAUGUAACUAUACUUUAAUAAAAUUUCAUUUUUAUCAACUCUUGUACUUUUUAUUGGAAAUUUAAGAUAGUUUCCAUGCUUUAAUUGACUAAAUGGGUCUAAUUUAUUUUUUAAGAGAUUCAAAUAAAAUUCUAAUUAAUCUAGAUUUGCCAAAAUUUUAAUCGCUUGCAAAUUAAUUCGAAUAUUUCAAUCAAGGUUCAAUUUUCUUUAAAAAAUUAAAAAAUUGUUCUUUUUAAAUAUUUUCUCAAAGUUAGUCAAACGUUGUAAAUUAUUUUCAUGUCAAAUCAUUUUUCUCAAAAUUAGUCAAAAUCAUUUUAAGUCAAAUCGCCGGUCAACCGCAAGUUAGCGGGCAUUCCGAGGGUCUAACACCUUCUCAGAAUGUACAUUGAACUUCGAACCCUGUUAUUUUCAAUUGACCUUAUCUGUUUAAGUCUUUUGAAAACCUUAAGUGUUUUUCUUGAUUUUUACUAAAAAUUAAGUGGCGACUCUGUUCUUUCGGAAAUUCGUUUUCUCUUAAACCAAAAGUUUAAUCAUUUUUCGAAAACCAAUCAUUUUUUAUUUUAUUUAUUUUUUCGAAUAAAACAAAGAUUUUGUCAAUAAAUAUUUUUUAUAAUCAAUAUAAAAUCAAGUCUAAUUUCUUUACGUAUCUUUUACACUUUAGGGCCAUUAAUCCACUAAAUUUUCUUAUUAGCCAAGCUUAUUAUUCCAUUAUAACUAUGAAUCUUUGACAUCUUCUACUUUUGUUUUAAUGCCUAAUUUUCCACUUCUCCUUUAUUGUCUUGUUUAUGAAAAUAGUGAUCAUAUAAUUUUUUUUGCUCGAAUGAAUCUUAUGAAUAUUGUAUCUUGGCUAUUAUGUUUUUGUUUUGUAAAUAUUCACUGAAGUAUGUGUAAUUCAUGAAUGAAUUUUUGUAUGUGUUGAUGUUGUGUUCAUCAGACAUCAACGUUCGUACUCUUUCUUAGAGGGCAAUGUUAUCCAUUUUUUUGUUGAAGGGCCAACCCGUCCCAACCUGUGGCCUGCUUUGGGUUGGGUUGGGCUGCUAUAUUUUAUAGGUUCUUUAAUUAAAAGGGCCUGCCCGUCCCAUCCCACUUAACUCUCUAGCCGGUUAGGGUUGGGCCAGCCCAUUUUAACAGCUCUAUCUAUAUAUAAAAGGAGAAGAAAAAAUGACACAUGUCAACACUACAAAUUUUCAGUAACUAUUUAUGUAUUGUCAGCACCACAAAAUUUGAAAUAAAAACAAACACACACACACACACACACACACAAGCUGAAUCAAAUCACGCUGAUGUGGCAUGCUUCAUUGAUCAGUAUACUAUUUAUUUAUUUUUUCAAAAUUUUGAAUUUUUUUCCUCUCAUUUUCUAUUCAAUAACCUUUUAAAACAAUUAUUCACUUUCCUACAUUUAACUCUUCCUUCAAAAAGGAAAUAUGUAACAGCUAAAUACAUAAUGGUGCAAUUAACGUGCAUUAUCACACAUUUUUCCUAUUAAAUCAUUGCUUCAACCCACGUAUUAUCAGUUUUUUUUGUAAUGCUUUAUCACCUAUGUAAGUAUUUUUUUUUCAUGUAAGUAUUUUUUUUUCAUAUCUUCUUAUACCUUUUUGGGGGGUUUCAUGUAGUUUUUUUUCUUCUCUUUCAUCUUCUUCCUUUUAUUUUAUCCAUCCUUGAUUUUUAUUUUUAAUGUAUAUAUGUUAGCAUCAUUUUAAACAGGAUAAUUACUAUGAAGCUUUUUUAUAUGAAGAGGUAAGCCAAUAGUUGAUUUUAUCAAUUCUUGAUUUUAUUUUUAACGUAUAUAUGUUACCAUCCUUUGAAAAGGAUAUUACUAUGAAGCUUUUGAUAUAAGCCAAAANNNNNNNNNNNNNNNNNNNNNNNNNNNNNNNNNNNNNNNNNNNNNNNNNNNNNNNNNNNNNNNNNNNNNNNNNNNNNNNNNNNNNNNNNNNNNNNNNNNNNNNNNNNNNNNNNNNNNNNNNNNNNNNNNNNNNNNNNNNNNNNNNNNNNNNNNNNNNNNNNNNNNNNNNNNNNNNNNNNNNNNNNNNNNNNNNNNNNNNNNNNNNNNNNNNNNNNNNNNNNNNNNNNNNNNNNNNNNNNNNNNNNNNNNNNNNNNNNNNNNNNNNNNNNNNNNNNNNNNNNNNNNNNNNNNNNNNNNNNNNNNNNNNNNNNNNNNNNNNNNNNNNNNNNNNNNNNNNNNNNNNNNNNNNNNNNNNNNNNNNNNNNNNNNNNNNNNNNNNNNNNNNNNNNNNNNNNNNNNNNNNNNNNNNNNNNNNNNNNNNNNNNNNNNNNNNNNNNNNNNNNNNNNNNNNNNNNNNNNNNNNNNNNNNNNNNNNNNNNNNNNNNNNNNNNNNNNNNNNNNNNNNNNNNNNNNNNNNNNNNNNNNNNNNNNNNNNNNNNNNNNNNNNNNNNNNNNNNNNNNNNNNNNNNNNNNNNNNNNNNNNNNNNNNNNNNNNNNNNNNNNNNNNNNNNNNNNNNNNNNNNNNNNNNNNNNNNNNNNNNNNNNNNNNNNNNNNNNNNNNNNNNNNNNNNNNNNNNNNNNNNNNNNNNNNNNNNNNNNNNNNNNNNNNNNNNNNNNNNNNNNNNNNNNNNNNNNNNNNNNNNNNNNNNNNNNNNNNNNNNNNNNNNNNNNNNNNNNNNNNNNNNNNNNNNNNNNNNNNNNNNNNNNNNNNNNNNNNNNNNNNNNNNNNNNNNNNNNNNNNNNNNNNNNNNNNNNNNNNNNNNNNNNNNNNNNNNNNNNNNNNNNNNNNNNNNNNNNNNNNNNNNNNNNNNNNNNNNNNNNNNNNNNNNNNNNNNNNNNNNNNNNNNNNNNNNNNNNNNNNNNNNNNNNNNNNNNNNNNNNNNNNNNNNNNNNNNNNNNNNNNNNNNNNNNNNNNNNNNNNNNNNNNNNNNNNNNNNNNNNNNNNNNNNNNNNNNNNNNNNNNNNNNNNNNNNNNNNNNNNNNNNNNNNNNNNNNNNNNNNNNNNNNNNNNNNNNNNNNNNNNNNNNNNNNNNNNNNNNNNNNNNNNNNNNNNNNNNNNNNNNNNNNNNNNNNNNNNNNNNNNNNNNNNNNNNNNNNNNNNNNNNNNNNNNNNNNNNNNNNNNNNNNNNNNNNNNNNNNNNNNNNNNNNNNNNNNNNNNNNNNNNNNNNNNNNNNNNNNNNNNNNNNNNNNNNNNNNNNNNNNNNNNNNNNNNNNNNNNNNNNNNNNNNNNNNNNNNNNNNNNNNNNNNNNNNNNNNNNNNNNNNNNNNNNNNNNNNNNNNNNNNNNNNNNNNNNNNNNNNNNNNNNNNNNNNNNNNNNNNNNNNNNNNNNNNNNNNNNNNNNNNNNNNNNNNNNNNNNNNNNNNNCAAUAAUUACUAUAAUAGAAUACUAGAAAAAUUGAUAAGUUCCUCGACAUCUAAUCAUUGAUAAAAAAAUAAAUUUUUAUUUUCUUUUUAGAAAGUUUAAAAGUAACUUAUUCAGUAUUUGUGAUUAUUUAUUUUCAAUGAUUAAUAAAAACUGUAUAUAUCAUGAACAUGUUUCUAUUAUUAUAUGACAUUAUUUUAUAUUGACUCUAUUUUAAAUUACUUUUCUAUUAUCGUUUGACACAAAUUUAAGAAUGUGAAGAAUAUGUUGAAUCUUUUGAAUUUGAAAAAAAAUAUAUGCAAAAUAUAUUAACAUGUCAUUUAAUCUUAUGAUAUUUUACCUUUCAUGUGAAAUAUUUUUAACUAAUAAAAUUGUUAAUAUGAAAAAUAUAUUAAUAUAUCAAUACAACAUAAAAAUAAUUAAAGGACAAAUAUGUAAAAAUAUUUCAACUAUUUGAUGUUUCAUGAAAUUAAAUUAAUCAAAAAUUCAUAUAUAGCCGCGUAACGCGCAGGUACGUAUAUUAGUUGAACUUAAUAGGCCCCCACCAAGAGACAAUAAGGAAUUAGGGUCCUACGAUCAUCUUGUAGUGUUUCUUAUCAAUUAAAACGUGUCAUUUAGAAAUAUUAUUAUUAAUAUAUACAAAUAAACGUAAAAAUAUCCAAUUACUUUUGUAUCGCAAAUUAUAUCAAAAAGAAAAAAAUAAAAUAAGAAAAUGAUAAAAUGCAAAAAAUAUGUUUGAUCAAACUUUCAUAAAUCUUCUCAUAGCUAGUUUGCCUAAACUUUCAAAAUUUGCUUCUUCUGAAACGUACUUUUCUUUACCAAAAGUGCUUUUGCAAAAGGUAAAUAUAAAAGAAGGGGAACUUAUAUAAAUUUCAUUAGUUUAGGAGCUAAUUAUUUAGAUAUACUUUAGUUUGCAAUAUUUUACGUAUCUUAUCUUUUUUUUUCCCUCUAGAUACGACCAGAUGCAUAUAUCUCAGAUACAUGAGGUUAAAUUUAGACGUAAUUUGUUCUAGAUACAUUGUAUUCAAGUAAAUUUGAAUGUUUCAGGGAUACAUAGAAAAUCUCGUUCGUCUCUCUCGCCUCUCUUCCAUCUCGCUCGCCACUCACACGUAUAAUCUGGUAUUCCAAAACACCAUACACAUGUGAAUCACUUCAAAUAUAUACAUAUACAUGUAUCUAGUAUGAUUCCCAUGUAUCUAGGAUACAUAUGAAUCUCGCUCGCCUCUCUCCCUAUUUUUGUGUAUCUGGUAACAAAAAUAUAUGUAUCUAAGUGUAAGAUAUGUAGGGAACUCUUAAUUAGUGGUAAAAUAAAAAUAAAAAUAAAAAUAAUAAUAAUAAUAUUAAUAAUAAUAAUAAUAAUAAUAAUAUAUAUUGUUGUGAUCAAGGAAACAAACACAAGAAAAUAAGAAUUUUAGAAAAUAAAAGCAAGAAAUAAGUUUGAUGAUUGUUAGUUUGAACGUCUAUUUUUAGUACUUGCUUUUCAAUUCCAAUGAAUUAUCCGAUUUUGAUAUAUAUUUGAUUACUAGACAUUCAAAAGAAUCUUAAUCAAUUGACCUACCAAAUAUUAUCAUGAUUCACUUGAAAUGUCAAAAAUAUAGCAAACAUUAUAGACAAUUAAUUAGGAAAUAUCCUAUAUUUUGUAAAUCAUGACGCAUUUGCAUGACAAUUCUAUUAUGAUCACCUAUUAAACCUUAUGUACGUAGAAGUAAACUUCUAAUUAAUUAGAAUUUAUGGAUCAUGAUCAUGUGUGACAUAACCUUUAAUUCCUUUUUUGUUUCCAUCAUUACAUGUGCUUUUGUUGAUAAUAAUGGAGCAAGGAAUAUGAUAAAGAAUUAUCAACAUCAAACUCUAUAGACUCCCACCAAUAGAUAAUAAUUAGGAAUUAGGGCCCUACUAUCAUUUUGAAAUGUUUCUUAUUCAUUAAAUGUAAAGAUUCAAUAAUACUUUUGAAUUAUCAUAAAAGGUAGAAAAUAUUUACUCUUUAUUUUCAUAGAAAAUCGUAGCCACGAAAAUAAAGCAUCCUAAGCUUGAACAUUUGUUCCUCUUGUAUAAAUAAUACUCCCUUUGUUCCUAAUUACUUAUCCACUUUUUCUUUUAUAGUUGUCCCUAAUUACUUGUCCAUUUUGACAAAUAAAAAAAGGACAAUUUUUUUUACCUAUUAUACCCUCAAUUAAAUGACUAAUUACUUUGAAAACUGCAGAACUUUUCAUCCACUUCAUAAUUAAUAGGGGUAAAAGGGUAAACUCAAUAUGUCAUUAAUUGAUUUCUUAAUAGGUGUGUCAAUUCAAAAAUGGACAAGUAAUUAGGAACAGAGGGAGUAUCUUCAAUUAAUGUAUAUAGAAGUCAUUAUUCAUCAAAUUCAAGAAACAAAAUAAGUUAAUUACUUAGAUAUACUAUAGUUUUCAAUAUUACAUAUUUUAUCUAAUUUUGGUGCGUUCAGAUAGGUUCAUAUAUGUCCAAAUACAUGUAUCUCAAGAGACAUGAGGUUAAAAUUAUGUGUAAUUUAUUCUAGAUGCAUUGUAUCCAAGUGAAUUCGCAUGUAUCUGGGAUACAUACCAAAUUAAAUCUCUCUCGCCUCCCUCGCCUCUCUCCCAUCUCGCUAGCCAUUAUCCUAUGUAUCUAGUAUCCCAGAUACAUGCGGAUACAUACAUAUAAGUGUAUAAUGUAUCUAGUGUAGUGCGAUUUGCAUGUAUUAGAGAUACAUAACAAAUCUCGCUCGCCUCUUUCCUAAUUUUAGAGUAUUUGAUAGCAAAAUACAUGUAUCUAAGUGUAUUUUUCUCAAUAUAUGGUAGGAAAUUCUAACUUAGUGGUAAAAUUCAUAUUAUUUUGAAAGUAUAGAUAAUAAUAAUAGUAUAUAUAGUAGUGAAGUAUGUCUACAUAAUUUUUCCAAAAAAAAAAAUCCUUUGAUAAUUAGAUUUUCAAGAUUUUAGUACAACCAGCAAAAUAAGGAAAUAAAUAAAAAAUAAAAAAUAUUUUAAUUAUAUAAUGCAGUCCGUUGAGUUUUCAUGGACAUAGGCAAAAUAACAAAUAGUAAUACAUGUUUUUUUUAAUUAUAUGACAGAAUACACAAAGAAAUAAGAAUUUUAUAUACAAUACUUUUGUCGGCAACUAUAAGGAAAAUGAAAGAAAGAGCAAUAUAAAGGUGUAGAAAAUAAAAGCAAGAAAUUAAUAGCUACUUUAAUUUCUUUCCUUUUUCGACAAACUUUAUGUUUGAAUAUCCAGUACAAAAUUAUCAUAAAAGUACGUAAUGAAAUUAACUCCCACUAAUUAAUUGGAAAAUGACCUUGUAAUUGGGCCAUAACAAGCCUACUGAGUAAUUAAUUUGAUUGUCGUCAGUUUAAGAAAAACUAUCUAAUUUUUUGAUAGUUUAAAAUAAUUAUAUAUUGUCUCACUAAUUAAUAAUUUUAUACAAGAUUUCAAAUCAGAUACACGCCUAGAUACACUAACAAUAGGAAGAGAGACGAACGAGAGAAGGAGAGAGGCGAGCGAGAUAUAUAAACUAUGUAUUCUAAAUUGACGUGAAUCAAACAAGGCAAGCUAGGUAGGAGAGAGGCAAGUGAGAGAGUCAGAUACAUGCGAAUUCACUUGGAUACAAUGUAUAAAGAAUAAAUUAUACCUAAUUUUGACCUUAUGUAUCCGAGAUACAUGUCUGAACGUAUCUUGACAUGUCAGAUACAUAUAUUUGAAGUCCAAAAUUUGUAAGAUUCAUAAUAUUACAAACUAGCGUGAAUCUAAGUAAUUAACUCCUAAACUAAUGAGAUUUUUACAAAUUACCCGUAGUUUAAUCGUUUUUUUUUAACUUCCCUUUCAUUUCCAAUGAAUUAUCCAACUUGUGAUAUAUAAUUGAUCACUAAACGUUCAAAAUAAUCUUGAUCAACUUGCCUACCAAAUAUUAUGAUCCACUAUAUAUUUUGUAUAUUAUCGCGUAUUGGCAUGACACUUAUAAUGCAAUGUAGUAUUCUAUUUUGAUCUCACCUUCAACUAAAUUAUUUUAUUUUGAGUUUAAUAUUUAUACGUUGUUAGUGUAAACUAUGUAUAUUUUUUUUUUUAUUAGGUCACUUGGAGGACAUCAAUAGGAUUUUAAAAAAAAAUUGAGAUAUGUAAUUUCAAAAAUAAGAUAGGUUAUCUGCUAUAUCAGAUAAAUAUGACGUGGUGGUAUAAUUUAAAUGGAUCUUAAAACAAAUAGCCUAUCGGUUUUACUUUUUACUUCACCUAAUCACGAUAUUCCCAAACUAUUCACUUAUUAUAUACACGAUUGCACAUAUAUUAUAAUUAUUGUUGAUCGACUAUAUUUUGUGUUUUAAGGGAUUGAUCAAUUGAGCACUAUCUUUACCAUCAUUACAUAUGCUUUUGUUGAUAAUAAUCAAGCUAAGGGAUAUAUGAUAACAUUUUUGAACUUUUAGGCAUGAAAAAGGAAGUGGAGGCACUAUUCAACAAUGAACUUAAAAGACUUCAACAAAAAAAUUGAUAAUAUGGAAGCUAGUGGACAUGGAAAAAAACAUGGAGGAACUAUCAACAUCAAACUAAAUUGGCUCCAACCAAUAGACAAUAAAGAAUAAGGGUCCUGCGAUCAUUUUGAAAUGUUUCUUAUUCACAAUAUAUCACUUAUAUAUAAUAUAUAUACAAACAAAGAAUUAUUCUAUUGUUUUUGUAUAUCAACUUAUAUCGAAAACAAAAAAUAAGGAAAGAGUGUAAGAAAGUUGGAAUAUUCGAAUCUUUCUUGGACAUGCAAUUUAAAUUUCGCAAAUUAUUUCAAAUUUCAAUGAGUAACUUUGGCCAUUCAAGUUGAAAUUGCAAUUUACAUUAAAGUGAAUAUCAUAGCUACGAAAAUAAAGCAUUUUAUACUUGGACAUUUGGUCCUCUUAGUUAAAUAUCUUCAAUAAUGUAUAUAACAACUUGUAACGAAAAAAGAAAAAAAUAAAGUAAGAGCAUAAGAAUGUGGCAAAAUGCUUUAAAGGAAAGGAGAGUAAAAUAAUAUCGAUGAAAAUGUAUUCACGGCUAGGGGUUACGGCUGGAGGGGAUAUCGAGUUCUAACGGGUUGAGAUUGAAUCCGAUUUAAAUUAUCUUGGGUUCAAUUCUUAAAUUUUUGGGGGGUUGAGUGGUUUAUACCUAUUAGGGGUGUACAUGACCGGGUUGGUUCGGAGUUUCAAAUAUCAAACCAAACCAUUUGUGUAAAAAAUUUAAAUUUAUAAACCAAACUAAUAAAAUUCGGGGUUUUUCCACCUCAGGUUGGUUCGGAUUUUUCAAAUACCAAACCAAACCAUUGUGUCGAAUUUUUAAAUUUUAAAUCAAACCAAACUAAUAAACCUCGAAUUUUUUCAGGUUUUUGGAUUUUUCUGAUAAAGUAUUCAUAUAAACAUAUAAUUAACUUGUGCUCCAAAUAUUUCUUUAGUCCAACCAAAAUACAACUAUCUAAGGUGUUUUUUAAGAAAAUAAGACAAAAUAUGAGAUGAGUGAUGACACUAAAAAUAUUCAAUUAAAAAUAAUAAUGAAAUCAUCAUAUAAAAUAAAUAAUUGCAAAGUCAUAAUGAAAAUGAUCAUAAUUUAAAAGUAAUAAAUCAUGCUAAAAUAAGUCUAAUAAAGUAUUAGUUACAUGAUUAAACAUUAAAGAAAAAUUAAAAUUAGAUUAUGUAUUUUAAAUGUCUAAACCAAUGUAAAACUAAAGACCAAAUAUUCAACAUUAUUGUCAUUCUUAGUGUUGAAUUAAUUUAUUUUGUUAGCAUAGUAUUGAUUUGAUUCGAAUUGAAUUUUAUUAGAGUUACUAAUAUCUAUGGAUUAUAACCUUUUUUUAUUGAAGCUCACAGAGUCAUUUGCUGACUCUUGCAUAUAGUAAUUUCCUCCUCCUUAUUGGACCAUUCAAAAUUUUAAGUCUAAGUUUUUUUUGAAAAAAUAUGUUAAAAGAUAAAAAUUAUGAAAACUUAUAAGUAAUAUUUAGAAAUUACAUCAAAGUAAAUAUUUUAUGUAUAAAAUAAUUUUUUAAAAUUAUACAUAUAAUGUCGGGCUGGUUUGGUCUCGGAUUGACUUUUUUAGUUAAAACCAAACCAACCCAAGUAUAGUCAGAUUUUUUUUUCCAAUACCAAAUCAAGUCAAACCAAACCAUUAGUCGAGUUUUUUUUUCUGAUUUGACUCGAUUUGCGGUUUGAUUUGGUUUUUGGUUUGAUUUUGUACACCCCUAAUACCUAUAAUUGGGCUCAUUUUUGACACCUCUGUUUGACUAUUUUGCGUUCUUCAGGAGAGUGAUAUACGCUCUCUGUAUUAAAUGUCGAAAAAUGGUUCAUCAACAAUUUCACUUUAAACUAGUGUAGGGGUGUAUUAGGACCAUUGCAAAAUUUGAGUGUUUUUUUUCUAAAAAGAGUUAUAGUUUAGGGGGGUUUUAUGUAUUGUUUAACUUUAAACAAAAGAUGAAUUUUUUUCAUAAUCAAAUGUUUCCCUAUUAUUAAUAGUAAUUGCGCUUAAUUAUGAUUGUUUAAUAUACAAUUCUUUUGUCGCAUCGACAAGGGAAAUGAAAGAAAGAGCAUUAUUAUGAAGUAUGAUGGUGGAGAAAAUGAAAGCACUAAAUUAAUAGUUACUUUAUUCUUAAAUAUAUAAAACAAAAUUAUCAUAAAGUACGUAAUGAGGUUAACUCGUACUCGUAUUAAUUAAUCGGAUAAUGACCUUGUUGGGCCAUAAUCCUAUGAGUAAUUAAUUUUUAAUGAUGGUCACUCUCCUUUCGUUUCUUUUUAGUUGUUAUAUGGAAUUUUUUAAAAGUUAAUUUGAUUAACUUUCAACGCUAAAUUAAAUUAGAUUAAUUUGAUAUUUUAAAAUAAAAAUUUAGAUAUAUAAAAACUAUAUGUAAAUUACUAUAAGUAGCAAUUUUUUCACAUCAAUAAAAUAAAAAAUAUAUCUUAAAAUAUUAUAUUAAUUAAAAUUCAUAUUGUUUGAUUAUACUAUGACAAAUAAAAAAAAACGAGGAAGUAAUUAGAACGUCUAUUUUUAGUACUUUCCUUUCUAUUCCAAUGAAUUAUAUAUGAUAUAUAAUUGAUCACUACACGUUUAAAAGAAAUAAAAAAUUUAAUCCAAUUGGCCAGCAAAAUAUCACGAUUCACUAAAAAUGUAAGAUGGCAAAGUGCAAACGUAAUACGCAUUUAGGGUCGUUUGGUAGAGUGUCAUUACAAUUCAAAAAAAAAAAUAGCAACAAUAGAUAUGCAUAUUAAUAGAGUACUAAAGUCUUUACCGACAUUAAUUAAUUGUAUUGAAUCUAAUAUCGAUAUAGGUUUUAGAGACAUUUACAAAAGGUUUUAAUUGCCACUAAAAAGACAUAUUUAGCAGCAAUUAAGUUAUUGCCGCUAAUUAAUUGUGACUAAAAAUCAUUUUUGGUGUAAUGUAUAAUAAUAAUGUUAAAUAGAGUGUAUUUUUAUAUACAGUGCACCAAAGAGUUUUAAUUGCCACUAAAAAGACAUAGUAAUGCUUGCAUUAUUUUCUAUGCAUUGUUUGGUUUGAUGUAUUAAAAUAGCAUGCAUUGCAUAAUUUUUUUACAAAAAAAUUAUUUAUAAAGAUACCCUUCAGGCCUCCACAAAUAUGGUGGAAAUUGAAAAAGAUGUUAAAAAAAAAGGUUUUGAGGGGCAUUUCAAUUUUAAACCAUGUUAAUGCUUGCAUUAAAUCUCCUCACAUUACUAAUACCAUUAAUUUCCAUGUAUUAGUAAGAUAUUCCUCAAUACAAUAGAAAGUAAACUGAUACAAACAUUAGUAAUAUGUAGGUUAAAAAAAUGGACAUUCCUCACUACACAAUAAAGCAUUAAUAGGUUAAAAUCAUAUUAAUGCAUACAUUAAAGUAUCUUUUAUUAUAAGAACUCAACAAUGGUGUUGGGUUAUAAGAUAUAUGUAAUACCCCUACACUAAGAAGUCACAAGUUAAUCUUACAAAUGAAUUAAUAGGAAUUGAAAGAGUAAAUACUCGUCCUUUAUAACUUACUGGGUUAAGUUUUGUUUCCUAAAAGGGCAUUUAAGUAAAAGUAAAAUUAAUUAAAGAAUUGCUCCUUAAGAUUCUUUUUCAAUUUAAAACUCUCAUAUUUGACAGGUAGAUUAAAAAAUCAUACUUGAGCUUUAAUAAUUAAGCACUUAGAAAAGUCCAUAACAAAAAAAUCAUAAUUAAGCUUUAAUAAUUAAGCACUCCGAAAAGUCCACAACAAUUUUUUUUUGUUGUAGUUGAAAAUGAGUUUAUUUCAUUCAUAUUAACAUAGGACCGGAAGUAGAAUGAAAGAUGUGAUCUACUUAACAUUUUCAUAUAUAACAUAACAAAACAAGAAAGAUGGAACAUGACUUUCAUGCAUUGGUCAAUUUUACUUGUGUUGCUUCAAUUGUAUAUGAAUUAAUUAUAUCUUUAUUUAUCAUCAAAACAACUAUUGGGAAAACACAUGCUCAUACAUCUAAACAUAGGGUGUGUUUGGUAUCUAGAAAAUGUUUUCUUGAAAAACAAGUUGAUUUUUGACUUAUUUUUUCAUGUUUGGUUGGCCAGUAGAAAAUAGUUUUAGUGUUUAAUUCAUGAAUGAAAAAUAUUUUUGAAAAAAUAUCUUUUAUUUUUACUAGAGAGUAGAAAAUGAUUGUUGAAAUUGAAAAUAUUUUUUAAAAACAAACAUAAUUUUUUUUGGAGGGGGUGUGGGGAUGGNNNNNNNNNNNNNNNNNNNNNNNNNNNNNNNNNNNNNNNNNNNNNNNNNNNNNNNNNNNNNNNNNNNNNNNNNNNNNNNNNNNNNNNNNNNNNNNNNNNNNNNNNNNNNNNNNNNNNNNNNNNNNNNNNNNNNNNNNNNNNNNNNNNNNNNNNNNNNNNNNNNNNNNNNNNNNNNNNNNNNNNNNNNNNNNNNNNNNNNNNNNNNNNNNNNNNNNNNNNNNNNNNNNNNNNNNNNNNNNNNNNNNNNNNNNNNNNNNNNNNNNNNNNNNNNNNNNNNNNNNNNNNNNNNNNNNNNNNNNNNNNNNNNNNNNNNNNNNNNNNNNNNNNNNNNNNNNNNNNNNNNNNNNNNNNNNNNNNNNAUUUGGGGGGGGGGAGGGGGGGAGGGGGUAAAAAAUAAAAAAUUGAGGUUGAAAAUAUUUUUUUAAAAAUAAACUUUAAAUUUAUUUUUUCAACCAAAAAUUUGUAAUGUGAAGUUGGAGGAGAGUUUUGAAAAAUGUUUCCCUUAAUUUUUUAAGGAAAGUCAUUUAAAUUUGAGGAAAAUGAGUUGAUUUGGAAAACAUUUUACCCAACCAAACAUGAGAAAAUUGGAAAACAUUGUUUUCCUUCAUACCAAACACACCCAUAGUCAAUUUAUCAAUACAAGAUUCUCAAAAAUCUCGCACCAUUAAAAAUAGUUUUACAUCUUAUAUAUAGCUUCUCAAUAGUUCAAAGUACUAAUUUUCAAACUUUGUUCAUAGACCCCUAUUUUCCCCUAAAAUUAAGUUACACAUGACUUAUCAGUUAUUGUCAUACUUAUUAGAUCUACACCCUCACUCUAAUUAGUUCCAUGAUGUAAUAUUAUGAUUAUCUAUUUUGAACCAAGCCAACACAAUUUUCUUAUAAAUGACUCACACCAUGAUGCAUGUAACCAUUGUACAUAUAAUCAAGAACAAAAGAGUAUUUCUUAAUUAAGCAUAAUCAACUUUUCUCAUAUAUUAACACACGGUAAAUCUCUAGAUAUUCUAACAUCUUCUCUACUUACUGAUAAGUCAAAUAGUAACGUGUAAAUGAAGAUGUAAAAUUACUAGUAGUUAGGUGUUUAAACUUCAAAGGGGCAAGAACUAACCCCACACUCCAUCAUCUUCUCUACUUUCUACUAUACUCUUUUAGAACCUUCUACUAUAAAUUAUGUGCUUCCAACCAAACAUCCACACUAACAUUUUACUAAAGAAAUGCAUACCAAAAAUCUUUUUCCUUCCUGCAUCUUACUUCUUCUUUUGUCCUCACUACUAUCUUCCAAUGUAAGUAACUCUUAUGCUCAUCUCUCUUUCAUUUUCUUGAACUAAUCUUUGACAUCUUUGUCAUAAAUAUUCCAACUCUCUGUCUCUCUCUAUAUAUAGACAUUUUAAAUUUAUUUAUUUUAUGCGAAGUUAUUUCAAUCAAACCAUACAACAUUAGAAUAUAUUUCCAUCAACUUUCUCAUGCUCAUUUUAGUCGAACCAACAAACCAAAGCACUGACACAUCGGCGCAUAAAAAAAGUACUCUCAUUGUCCUAUUUUAUGUGCCACUGUUUAAUUUGACAUAGUAUUUAUUUUCAAUUAUAGUAAAAUAACAUUCUUUUUGGAAUAAACUAAAAAGAAAAAGGUUACCACUUAUCAGAUAACUCUUCCAAUUUUUCUUAAUAAAAAACCGUUAAUCUCCUCUGCCUUUUGUUUUUUUUUUCUCUGAUGGGUUUAUAAACACUAUUUGUGCUAGUUUAAUCCUUUAUGAAUGACAAUUAUUGUAAAUUAAAAACUAAAGCAUAUAAAACCGACUCAAUUGGUUUGAUUUUCUUUUAGAGAAAUAGCGACCCAAAUCGAUCCGUUAUGUACUCAUGAAACGGUGCUAAUGCAGGUUGUUGUGGCUAAAGAUGGAGACAAAUCUGGUAACCCAUUUACACCAAAAGGUUAUCUGAUUAGAUACUGGAAUAAACAUGUCUCAAAUGACUUACCAAAGCCAUGGUUCCUUCUCAACAAGGCAUCUCCAUUGAGUGCUGCUCAAUAUGCAGCUUACACUAAACUUGUUGCUGAUCAAAAUGCACUCACCACACACCUCCAAUCCUUUUGCUCUUCAGCAAAUCUCAUGUGUGCACCAGAUUUGUCACCAAGUCUUGAAAAACACAAAGGAGAUGUCCAUUUUGUCUCUUACGGUGACAAGAACUUUACCAAUUACGGUACCAAGGAAUUCGGUCUCGGAUUCAACUCCUUCAAGAACUAUACAGAGGAUGAAAAUUUCCCUGUGAAUUCUUUCAGGCGCUACGGUAGAGAUUCUCCUCAUGAUAAUCAAUUUGACAACUACGGCCCUGGUGGCAAUACGCCUGUCCAAAGUUUCAACAGCUAUAGCACAAAUACUCCAGGGGGUUCUGGUCAAUUCACCAAUUACGCCCCGGGGGCCAAUGUCCCCGAUUUGCAUUUCACUUCCUAUUCCGACCACGGAACAGGAGGGGAACAACAAUUCAAAUCCUAUGGAAACGAUGGAAAUGCUGGUCAACAAACUUUCAAAAGCUAUGGCAAAGAUGGAAAUGGAGCUGAUAGUCAAUUCACCACCUAUGGAAACAACACUAAUGUUGAUGGCUCAGCAUUUACAAACUAUGGUCAGACAGCAAAUGGGGAGAACCAAAAUUUCACAUCUUAUGGUUUCAACGGCAAUAAUCCAGCAAGCAAUUUCAACAACUAUGGUGUUGGAGGUAAUGGUCCAUCCGAGACUUUUACCAGCUAUAGAGAUCAAUCAAAUGUUGGAGAUGACACGUUCACUACCUAUGUUAAGGAUGCAAAUGGCGGUGAAGCCAAUUUCACCAACUAUGGUCAAUCAUUCAAUGAAGGUACUGAUGUAUUCACUACUUACGGUAAAGGGGGUAAUGGACCCACAUAUUAAUUUCAAAACUUACGGAGUUAACAACACUUUCAAAGAUUAUGUCAAAGAUACUGCCACAUUUUCCAACUACCAAAACAAAACCUCCCAAGUUUUGGCUUCAUUGACCGGUGGCAAAAAGGUGAAUAACCGGUGGGUUGAGCCCGGAAAGUUUUUCAGGGAGAAGAUGUUGAAGAGUGGUACAAUCAUGCCUAUGCCAGAUAUUAAGGAUAAGAUGCCUAAAAGGUCCUUUUUGCCUCGGGUGAUUGCUUCGAAAUUGCCUUUUUCUACCUCAAAGAUUGAUGAGCUGAAGAAAAUUUUCCAUGCCGCCAAUGAUUCUCAGGUGGCAAAGAUGAUCGGCGAUGCUCUCAGUGAGUGUGAAAGAGCACCGAGUGCUGGCGAGACAAAACGAUGUGCUAACUCAGCUGAAGAUAUGAUUGAUUUCGCAACAUCAGUGUUGGGCGGAAAUGUGGUGGUUCGAACAACUGAGAAUACAAAAGGAUCAAAGGGGAAUAUCAUGAUAGGAGCAGUCAAAGGAAUCAACGGUGGAAAAGUUACAAAAUCAGUAUCAUGUCACCAGACCUUGUUCCCUUACUUACUGUAUUACUGUCAUUCGGUUCCUAAAGUCCGGGUCUAUGAAGCGGAUAUUUUGGACCCGAAUUCAAAGGCUAAGAUCAAUCACGGUGUUGCCAUUUGCCACGUGGAUACUUCUUUAUGGGGACCCAAGCACGGAGCCUUCAUUGCACUCG
This 78590-nucleotide long non-coding RNA is filed under the name Solanum tuberosum (potato). Its description in RNAcentral is "long non-coding RNA (STUB_LNC005440)". Lineage: Eukaryota; Viridiplantae; Streptophyta; Magnoliopsida; Solanales; Solanaceae. The record is from RNAcentral.